RNAcentral lists this long non-coding RNA (46868 nucleotides) under Capsicum annuum. RNAcentral's name for it is "long non-coding RNA (CANN_LNC004993)". The record is from RNAcentral. Lineage: Eukaryota; Viridiplantae; Streptophyta; Magnoliopsida; Solanales; Solanaceae.
ACUUCAGGACUUAUUGCAGAAAGAAUUGACUCAGGUUAUGCACAUAAUGCCAGAUAUAAAGCGGUAACACACAAGAGAAAAACUGUAAACACGUAGCACUGAACAAUGAUAAAAUAAAUAACAAACGAUAACACAAAUAAUGUUUAUACACCCAUAAUGUCAAAUUAAGCUGAUACAACUUCAAAAAUAAGCUCGAAUUUUGAAAAUUCCCCAGCAGAGUCGCCAGAGCUGUCACACCCUCUUUUUUACUCCAAAAAAUUAGAUUUAAGGUUUUGAAAGGGUUUUUAUGAUUGAGUGACAAAAGAAGAAAAUUUGUUUCAAAAAGGACUUUUAUAUUCAAAACUCAGAGUCGCCACUUGACAUAAAUCGGGUGUGCCAAGUCACCUUUGAACAUCCUUUUCAAAAUGAUUUUGACUCUAAAACUAAUCCGUGAACAGAGAUUUCGGCUAAGGAAUUUUGUUGACCGAGGGAAAGGUGUUAGGAAUCCCUCAAUUCCGUAGUUCGACAACGGUUGCUUAGUGGAUUAUAUCGGCUAAUUUAACACUACGAAUGUUCAAACCACACAAAAACAUGUAAAAAAACCAAACAAACAAACAAAACCAAAUGAAUCAAAAAUAUAGUGUCCAGUUCGAGUUAUACAGUCCCAAAAUAGAAAACUACGGAAAUGUAAAAUCCUAUUCUAAACUAAUUCUAGACUAAGCUCCAAUGCCUUACCCGAUGCCUCGGGCCUUCAUCACGAACGUCCUUCGAGUAAAAAAUACUCUGUGGUAUUUUCCGGAUAAAGCAAUACAAGUAUUUUGGGGUAUUCCCCAGCCAAAUGAUUCAAAUGAUCCCAAAGCGAUAAAACCAAAAACCAUUCAAUCACACAGUUCAAAUUUUCAACAAACCAUAAUCCCUAAAUUUGCCUACCCCCUAAUGUUUGCCUAUUUUUUGCUUCGACCUAACAUAACGCUACAAGAUUCACAAACUCGAUAUUAAUUCCUCACAACAACGAAACCAACAUUAAUCCAAAUUGAUCCUUUUUUAUCAAUUUUUGAUUCUCACCCCCAAAUAACCAAUUUCAACAAUGGCACAUUCAAUUAUUCAAAUCUCAGUUUAUUCAAUUAUCAAUUCAACUUUUCAAAAAUCGAAACUAACACCAAAUACAUACGCAUUAUAAAUAUUCGAACAUGUCAAGCACACGAAUCAGUCACAAUUACAUAAAUUAGCUGGAGAAAAAAUAGAAUUGGACCUCAAUGUUCCUUUUAUUCAAUCAACUUGAAUUGAUUUAGACAACGACGGAAGCCUUGGGAACUAAUGAACCUCGAAUAGACUCGAAUCAACCUUCCUCGGCCUCGAACUCACAACUCGAAUAAACCUCAAUACGAACCUUAACAGACUGACAAGACCAACAUCAAUCGGCGAAUUUCAACCCGAAGCCUGAAUUACCAAUUUCAAAGGAGAAGCUUAACUGGGUUCGAAACCCCAAAUGGGGUUGGGCUAUUUCACGACAAAGACGAAAAAGGUUGCUGGGUCGAGUAGUAAUGUCUUUAACGGAGCUCUGGUGAGCCUAGAUAGAAAGGGAGACGGAGAAAAUAGCUCAAAUUCUGAUGAUGGUGACGUCUUUUCGGCGAUAACAGACCAGAACAAUCUAAAAUCCACUGGAUUCUGCUGUUGCUGCUCAACUUCCUUAAUCAAUUGAUUCCCUCCUUAUCACCGUUCAAUCCUAUUUUCCAUCCACGGUGGGUGGGUGGGUGCACGUGAGCUUUUCUGAUGAGGUGUGAAUAUGGUGAUUGUCUAUUUGACAUAAAAAAAAAGUAAAGGGAUGAAGAAGAUAACCCUUUUCAAUUGAGAAUGUUCCCCUGUUAAUCAAAAAAGAAAAAUGAAGGGCCCUUUUUGUUGUCUGUGAUUGUGCGUAUAGAUGUGAGGAAGGGACUAGAAUAAUGGAGCCCUUUUUUUUCUAAUGGUCUCGCACUUUCCCUAUUACUGAGAUGUGUAUAUAUGUAAAUUUCUCCCAUGAAAGAUGAUGAAUUCUAUGCUUUUCGGUGAGAAUGAGUGUGUGAGGUGUAUAUGAGAAUUAAGAGAUGUAUGUGUGUGUAGUGCGUGAGGGUGAGAAUUAUGAGGGUGAGUUUUGUUGUGAUCUGAAUGGGGGAUGGGGUAGGUGGUUGGGAUAAAGUUUGUUAGGAUAAGGUUAGGGAUUUAUUAAAUUUUUAUUAUUUUCGUAUUUUUGUGGGACAUAAUCAUAUCGGUGAGGGCACGCAGUAAGAUAGGGGUAAAAAUGAAUAACUUGGGUCUUCGGGAGGGACAAAAUUAGGUGUUUACACUUGUAUUUCUUACCGUUGGGGUAUUUAUUUCCUGUAUUACUUGUAUUUAUUUCCUUUAUCGCACUAGCGUAGUCCAGUAGCUAUUUACCUUUCUACCCCUAUCACUGUUGACUUCACUUAUACUCUUGCAUUUUAAUUAGGCUUUUGCUAUAUAUUUUUGCUCAAUCGGACGAUGAUACCUACUGAGUAUCUGUUGCUUUGGUACUCAUAUUGUAGUUAUGUAUUUUUUCUUUGAUGCAGAUCUGAGUACGAGCCACCAAUGUUGAGGUGAUUCUCUAACCCAUUACCGAUCCGGAGUAGGGUAAGCUUUUUAGAGUCCCAGACUGAUCCUGAACAGUAUAGUCUUUUGCCUUUAAUACUACUGUAUAUAUAUUUUGUAUAUUUUAGAUAUUGUCUAGUACUCCUAUUUUGUUUUUAGUGAAUUUUGUACCAUUUUUAUCAGGUCUUGGGUGGGAUCAUCUAGUAUAUUUUUUCCUCUUUCUUCCUCCUAUACGGUAUAUUAUGUACGUAUGUUUCUUCGCUUCCGCUUAUGUAUUUAUUAUUGGUGCUUAUUAACUCCUAUUUUUCCUUUUUUUGGCCUGUUACUCGCUAUUUCGAGUUAUGGCUUGACUUGCCUGCUGAUGGGAUAGGGUAGUCUCCAUUAUGACAUGAGAAAUUGAAUCGUGACAUAGAUCUAAUCAAAACUCUCAAAAGAAAUAAUUGACUUCUUUUUACCAUUAUAAAUAUAACUUACUAUAUGGUAUUCGCGUUGCAACAUGCAAUGUGCUUGUACCUAGGAAAAGCAAGCCACAGUUUCAUACUCUCUUUUACCUAAGUUGGUUGGAAAAAACCUGCUAUAAGAUACAAAAUAUACUUGUAUCUCAGUAAAGUGAUACUGACUUUUUUUGUGGUUAAAGAAAGAGACUAAGAACAGAAAGGAAUCUGAACUUGUUCAAGAAAAGAAAAAUAUUUUGAGUUAAAGGACAAGGAAAUAAAGAAGAGGUAUUCAUCAAAAUAUAUGCUGUAAAAUUAAUGAGAAUCACUAUGAUAAUAGUGUUAUAUAGGUUUGCCUUAAAUAAUAGCAUAAAAUUUAUGAAAUACUUUUGAAAGAAGUAAAACUUGUGGCAACAAAAAAGAGAAUUAUCAAUUCUCAUAAAAUAAACCUUGAUUUUCCAGUGAGAUAAACCUUUAAUUUUAUUUGACUACUUCAAUUGAUGGCAACACGUUUGUUUCAUCUAAUUUUUCAAUUAGCUAUUUUCAAAAGGUAACUUGUAUAAAGUUAUACUCCGAAUUCUCUUACCAGAAGCUUAAACUCACCUUAGAAAUUUCAAACUUGCAACCAACUUGGUAGUGCCUUGCCUCCAUGACAUUGCAACCAACUUGGUAGUGCCUUGCCUCCAUGACGUUUCAUGGACUGAACACUUGCUAAAGCUUUUUCAACUUCGGCAAACUUAUGUUUUCAAUCAAUACUUAGAUAUCACUUCAACUUUUCAUUGAAAUCUUAGUCCUAGCAAAAGAUCAUCCGAUGUGAAACUUGAUGGAAGACACGUGAUUAUUUGUUCAUCAUUGUAUAUAGUGUCAUUUCUGUUUGAUUAGAACUUUUUUUUUUUAAUAGAAUUUUGAACGCUCUUCAAGAUUUAAUAUCCAAAUCAAAUACUACUUUCUUGUAUUCUUUGUUGAUACCUUUUCGGCAAGAAUUUGAAUUGUGCUUAAAUUCAAAGUACCAAAAUCAUUGUUGAAUUCAAUAACAUGAAUUGUUGUAGAAAAAAAAAAGAUUUUCAAUUUAUAAAAGUCCAAACUCUUUUUCCACAAAAGAAAUUUUCCCUAAAUAUGAAAUAUUUUUCUUUUUCUUCCAUAAAUUGUUUACCAUAUUAAAAAUAGGUUUCAAUUUCAAAUAAACUAAACCUACGUUCGAUUGUUUAAUAUUAGGAGUUUAGUUAUAAUUUCUAAAUAUUAGGAGUUUAUUACUGCAUUAUUCAAUUAGGAAAAUUGUUAAUAACCAAAAUCUUUAUUGAUUUUAAAUUUCUAAAUAUUAGAAAAAAUAGUAAAAAGACGAUUCUAUCUAUUGCGGAGUCUUUUUAAUGAAAGACAAAAAAUUCAAACAAUAAUUUUAAAGGCCUUCACACUUUUAAUAUAGUACCAUUGUCUCAGCACGUGUAUAUCAAGUCAUUUCACACAUGAUAUGUAAGAUAAUAUUGAAAUUUGAAUGAUUAAAUUAUAUAUGAAAAAUAAUGUAUAUGUUCUUAAUGAUCAACGUGGAUCAUUAUAUAGUGACUUGUUUUUUGAGUUGAAGAUGAUUGACUAUCGUAUAAAAUAACUAAAAUGGGAAAUCAAAGUUCAGUUCUUUGACUUUUAUCUUACUUUACACAAUAUUUGGACGAUUUUAAUUCCCUACCUUCUUGGUGUCACAAAAUAUUUUAAAUGUACCAAUUUUUAAGGAAAAAAAGAUAAGCAAAGAAAAUUUUUUUACGUGUAUGCCAAUGGUCAAGUCAUGUAAUGCAUACUUGUAAAACUAAGUUAAUGAUACAUAUUAUAUAAGCAUCAUCUACUUCACUAAGGUGUUCACUCCAGCAAGGAAGGGAUCUUGCCUUGCCUCUUGUAUAUCAAGAAUAAUAAUUGCAUGAUGAAUGUAAUAAACUCAAGUAGGUUAUGUUUGAAGACAAAUUUUGUAACUACAUCUGCAAUACUACUAAAAAAUUGGAAAAUUCACAACUUAUUUUCUUAAAAAGUUAACAGGUUAUGCAAUAUAAAUUAAGGGUCUAAAAACAUAAACUCCGGGAAAAGGUAUUUCCUCAAAACACCAAUGAAAGUAACACGUUCGUGACUAUGCCCCUUAAUAUCGUGCACAUCUAUAAUUACCAUCGCCUUCUCAAUAAUUUUUUUCGUCUUCUUAUUUAGCAAUUAUUUCUCUUCUUUGUUGUUUAAGAGAAGCAACUGCCUACACAUCUGUUUUAUUUUUAACCCACUAGCAUUGAACUGUGAGUGAUUUCUUCUUCCUCUUCUAAAAUCAUGAAUAUAUGUUUCAAUAUGCGCAAUCUGUCAUAAAAAAAAUCAUCAUUUGUUCCAGCUGUUAAAAAGUAGAUUCACUUUGACUCGAUCUUGAUACUAGUCCAUAAUGAUCAAAGUCGAAGCGUGAGCCUAUUACAGAAACCAAUUCAAUGAAGCAGGGACUGAUCGUCUUAUCAAUAAGCAUUCACAAAUUUUAACCCCAAAUCUUCUUUUUAUUUUUCUUCUCUACAAACGCACCAAAAUAUGAGUCUUCUUGAUUCAAAAUUGGCACAACAAUUACUUAAAUCAGUAAUGAAACUACACCACCACCAACAUACUCAAUGAAAUUUUACAAAGUGGGGUAUGACAAGAAUAGGGUACACGCAAACGCCAUCCCUGUCUUAUGGAGGUAGAAUGACUAUUUUCAAAAGAUGUUAGAUUUAAGUGUAGAAAAUAUAUCAAAGUUGUAAUGAAAAAGAAAAUAGACAUUAAAGAAAGCUUUGACAAUAACAGUGCAGAGCAUUCAUGCAAGGAACAUUAACAUCAACAACAUAGUGUGAGCACCUAAACAUAGUAAAUAAUAAAUGAUAACAUAUACCAGUUAUAGCUAGAAAAUAUAUGAAUAAGCCUAAUACUAUGACAUACAAAGUGUUCUAUAGACUACCACCAAGCCCAAGUAGACUACUACCAAGCAAGACAAUAAUCUGCUAACCUUCUAUCAGAGAUCUUCAUUUCUGACCUCCAUACCCUUAGUAAGAUAAAGAUGUGCUAUAUGUCUCAUAACCUCUUCUCAAUACUUGUACAACCUACCUCUACCUCUUUUCAUACCCAUUAUGUCCAACCUCUCACACCACCUCACUGUGGUAUCUGCACAUCUCCUCUUCACAUGGAAAACCAUCUUCGUUUUUCUUUCCUCAUAUUGUCCACCUCAGCGGUCACUCCUACUUUAUCCCAAUCAUCUCAUUCCUAAUCUUCGCUCCUAGUAUGGUCACAUGAAUUAUAGAAAUAUAUGCAACAAUAUAAAUACAAAAAAGGAAUUCAUUUGAACAAUCAAUCCCCCCAAAAAAACAUAUCAAUUAAGACACUUGAAAAUGGGAUAAGUAGUUACAUGGUUAAUGCCAUGAAACAAAAUUAAAAAAUAAAAUAAAUAAGUACUUCAUGUGUGCAGUUGCUAAACAGAAAAAAUAAAGUAUAAAGAAUUAAGUGUAUAUAUAUAUAUAUAUAUAUAUAUAUAUAUAUAUAUAUAUAUACAAAAUAAAAAACCACAAAAUCUAANNNNNNNNNNNNNNNNNNNNNNNNNNNNNNNNNNNNNNNNNNNNNNNNNNNNNNNNNNNNNNNNNNNNNNNNNNNNNNNNNNNNNNNNNNNNNNNNNNNNNNNNNNNNNNNNNNNNNNNNNNNNNNNNNNNNNNNNNNNNNNNNNNNNNNNNNNNNNNNNNNNNNNNNCAAAUAUAUAAGCAUAACUAUAUAUAUAUAUAUCUAUAUAUAUAUAUAUAUAUAGUAAAGUUAAAACCACAAAAUCUACGAUAAGAUGCUUUUAGAAGUGACUACGAAUCUACGCACAUAAAAAUUAAAAAAUAACAAUCCAUGUUUUGUGUAUGCUAAUUGCUAACUCAUCUUUUUUUGACAAUGAAUAACAUUUAGAACAAAAAUUGAUGCCAAGAACAACAUAAUAUUGAAAAUCCUUCGACAAUGUGAAUUUAUGAGGAUAACACAACCUCAACAAACUAUACAAUUUCCCUGCAAUGCUCGAGUCUCAUAAUUCGAUUUACUUCGGUAAUUCCUUAUUGGUGGGAGACUCUUAAUUGAUAUUCACAUUCGGUUGUCCAAAGAAAAUUUAGCCUUCAAACAAAAUGCAUAUAUUAUGUAAACCUGAUCAAGUAUUUCUUAAGAAACAUUAACCGAAGAGUACAAGUAUAAGCAAUUCAAUUUAUAAGGGAAUGAGUAAUUUUUUAGUUUACUGUCGGCCAAUGCACAUGCUAAAUUGAGAUCAAAUACUUAAAAUAUGUUUUUACGAUUUUUCCUACAAAAUUGGAGGACUGAUAACAUGUUUCCCACCUUGAAUAGUGAAGAGUUCACGCGAGUUGCCCUCUAACUUUGGGACCUGGUCCCAAACAGACUUAAACAACAAGAAACUAAACAGUAAAGUAUGUGCAAGAGAGAGUAAAGACACAACAAUUUUACAUGGAAACUCAUUGCUCAAUGGAGAAAAACCACGACUUGCCUUCAGAAUUUUCAAGCUCUAUAGUAUUCAAGCAACUUAAAUAAAACUCCAUUACAUCAAGGAUUAACCCUCUAAUCCUUCUUCUCCUAGUAGUAUCUCUAUUACAAAGAGAAAUUUGCAGUAACUCUACUGCACUACUACCCAGGUUACUCUAACCGAAUAAAAGCUAACUCUAGCUUUAAUAUCACCUAACUCUAGAUGAAAACAAGGAGUUUGAAGUAAAAAAACCAACACCUACUAAUAACAAUGAUAACAUUAGGAAACAUUUUUAACCAGAGUACAAAGGCUCAAAUACAAUAAGAAAAUGAAAUACAACUUUGUGAGCUAUUAGUUUCUUGUUACGAAUGAGUCUUUGAUCAAGAGCUUGGAGAAAGAUAUGUGUUGUGAGAAUAUGGAAGAUUGGUUUUCUUGUUGUGGAAGAUGAGUGAUAUAUAUAUGACACAAGAAAACCGAGGAUGAAUCCUAUUGGCUGGGGAAAAAGGGUUGCAGCAGCUUUCCACCAACCAUUGUAUUUUUGUCCAGCUGUGUAGUUGACUGUGAUAGCGACGUAAGGCCCAACAAGGUCCCUAAGUAGUUGCAUCUUUUUCAUCACAUAUUCUUCAGGAACCAGGUCCCAACAUGCAAAUUGUCAAUCAUCAAAACUAAGGACUUGACAAUUUCUCCCUUUUUAAUGAUGAUAAACCCAUACACGUCGUCAAUAUCUUCAAGCAUCCACACUAUACACAGCACACUUCUCAGCAACAUAAAAUCACUGGGAACCUCAACCUGUACCCCUUGUCACUGAUACCCCUCGUAUCCUCUACCUAUUCAUCUCAACCUGUUUCCUUUAUCUAUCAGUACCUAAGGUUCCUCCUGAGUGUGAGGACCUUUAUUUUUACCAAGCACCCUGCUACACCACCCUACUAUACCACAAAACAAUUUUCAUUCACCACCCUACUACACCACAACACAGCUAACACAGCUACACCAUAUCUUUCCCUUUUUGGCAUCAUCAAAGUGGUAAAGUAGUAAACCAAGCAUAGAUAAACGUACGUGUUAACUUAUGGAUAUUGAGGCUACACUUACAUAAGUAAGAAAUAUUAGACAAUAUAAGAGAGGAUAGCACAAAGUGGACUCAUGAAACAAUCAAGUAGACUAGUAUCAGACACUAUUUAGAAGAGUGGACAUAGUGAUGGAAGGUAACAACGCCAUUAAAGACAGAAGUCAACAGCUUAUGGAAAAACCAGAUAAAUCAGGUUUAAGACAUAAGAACAGGCAGGAUACUGUUCUAAGAAGAGGGUCCAAAAAAAGUUUGGGACCAGGUUCUUUGGUCCAUUGAAAACAUCCUUCUCUUCCCCUAUCCCUCAUCAUUAUUUAUUUUUUAUUUUUAUUCUUAUUUUUUUAUACAUGUUAUACCUGAAACUGUGGUAGACCUUUUAACAAGAGGUUGGGCUAUAACUACUCCCUUCCCUGCCCUUGUUCAAUUUUGAAGUAUGAAGGAGUAGAUUCUUAAUAAUGGGCAAAUAAGGGGUAAGAAAGGCUUUUAGACUUAAGUAAAGAUGAUAACUUUUAGAAGUAAGAGAGGAUAUAACACUUCUGUUUUGGAUGGAACUUAACCACAUUCAAGAAUAGAGAGUGAUACUAACAUGAAUAGAAAAUUGAUCCCUACAUAAUUUGUUGAGCACAUAACAUUGUAAGCUGACUCACCCUCCCUCCUAUCUUCUCCUCCUUACCAUGGGUGUAUAUCUGUAGAAGAUAUAAGAUUAAGUUAGACAUGUAUGACAAAAUAUGUCCUAGAUACCUAUUUGCCAAAUCAUAGCCAAAUUUAGAGGAUUAAGAGGAGCAACAUACUUUCAGCUUGGUCUUAUCAAUCCCAACUUUGUCCUAUUUCUCUCAAAUUGCUCCCUACCAAGUGCUUUUGUGAGAUGUCAAUAAUCUGAUCUUCAGCACUGCAAAACCAUCUUGAUCAACCCCUUUUCUAUAUUAUCUUUAAAGAAGUGAUGCCUGAUAUCUAUGUGUUUUGUCCUCUUAUGCUGAACUAGAUUCUUGGCCAUAUUUACAACACAUAUUUUGUCAUAAGAAAGAGGCACACAAUCUGAAAAAAUGCCAAAAUCCCCAAGUUACAACUUGAUCCACAAUAAUUUAACACAACAUAAGGCAACAAUAACAUACUUAGCUUCAGUAGUUGAAAGGGUCACUGAAUUCUGCUUUUUAGUACCCUAAAUAAUUAAGGAGGCUCCAAGAAAAUGAGCCAUUCUUGAGGUACUCUUUCUAUUAACUAGGUACCUGAUGUGUGAGCUAAUUCUAACACAUUUGAGGCUUUUAACUAAGAAUAAUUAUGAAGUCUUAAGCAAUUUUUAUCAUUUUUGAUUGCUUUAUGUUUGAUUUUGCAGUAGAAGCUAAGAUGCUAGAGAACCAACAAGAAUGGAAGCAAAUAAGCUGAAAUCUGAAGGAAAUAAAUGCGAAGUAUGAAUGACGAUAUUUUUGAUAAGUCUUCAGCCCUAUGAUAGCUAUUAGCUUCAUCGUCAGCAGUAACAGAGAAUUAGCCUAAGUUAAAAGCUGUGAUGACAUUUUGUGAUAGGACGUCAAGGAGCUGAUAGUCAUUAAAAUUGUUGUCAGCCUAAGGCAGAACAUAAGAGCUGAGGAAAAACCUUAACGACAUUUAUGAUAGGUCAUUAAUGAGCUGAUAGGCCAUCACCAUUUGUCAUCAGCGUUAGGCAGCGAGUACCAAAAGUAUAAAGAAAGAUGACGACAUUUGUGAUAAGUCGUCAGCCUCCUGAUAGGCUAUCACAAAUGGCGUCACCUAAUUUGAGGAAUUUAUAAAUUUUAUUAUUUUGUUUUCAUAAUUAGGGUGAACUAUUUAAAUCCUUGUUUAGAGUUUUCUUAAGAGUUCCAAACCUUGAGUUUUGAGAUGCGAUACUUUGAUAUUUUUCUCUUUUCUUUUGGCUUGAGAAAACAAUUACUUUAAAGAGACUAUCAUUACUAUUUUGGGAUUUUAUUUGGUGAUUUAAUUAGAGAAUCUCUAGUUUCUAUUCAUCUUUUGGUAAGUUCAUCUUUCAAAGCAUGAAUUCAUCUAGUUGCUUCGAUUAUUACGUCAUGAGCAGCUAAAUUCUUUUAACCUAAAUUAUGGGAUCUAGGGGUAGGUCUUGAUAAGGUGUUGAGUGUUUAAGAUUUGAAAGGUGGUAGGACUCCUUGAUAAUUUUGAUGUUUUAAUUAUUGCCUGUUGGUUGCAAACGAUAGAUAACACCUGCUUUGAUUUUCUUAAGAAAGAAAUCAAAUAUAGUGGGAAGUGAAUUAUCAACAGGGACUUGGAAACACUAAACUUCCAUUUAAUAAUCAACGCUGUAACAAGGUUGGUUAACCUGAGGUAAAAUCUGGGUAGUGAAUAUAAAUUCCCUGUCCGAGAGGAUUAGGUAAUUAAAUGCUUAAGUAGGUCGAGAGAUAUUUAAAUAUAACUUCGCUAAAGAUAACUUGUUGUCCUACCUACCGUGAGAAUCUUGAACCACUAGUAGUAUCUCUCUAGUACCAAAACCCCUAGUGAACAUAAUUUUGGUUUUUCAUAAACUCUUGAUUACAAACAUUUAAACUAAAGUGACCAAUAAUUACUUGUUAACUAAACCCCCCUUUUUUUUUUUCUGAAAACAUCCAACUAUUAGUUGAUUAAAUUACAAAUGACUUACGUUCACACUAUAUUCCCUGUGGGAUUCGACCCUAACCUAGUUGGGUUUUAUAUUGACAGCGAUCGCUUACAUUCUCAUUGAGAGGUGUAGUUUGAGCGUUAUAAAAAAUGGCGCCGUUGUCGGGGAAUACGGUUGAAAAUUGAAGUUUGUGUGCGCUAAUUGACUGUUAGUCAAGUUUCCUAGUUUUAUGUUUAUUUGUUGUUUUUGUUUAUUUGCAGGAUAUUUAUAGUGUAUGCCAAGAACCAGAAGUUCUGGAGAACUGUUAUUACCACCUAAUCUGGAAUCACAACGAAUUGGAAGAAUGACAGAACAACAAGAGACUGAUAGAUUGUCAGCCUUAGCUAGAGCUUAGGUGAAUGUGCAAAAUGUCGGGCAAUAAGCACGACAUCCAAAUCCUAAGGAUGAAGAUUUGGGAGACGAGGAGUUGCUGAAUCCUGGUAACCUAAGGCGUGCAGAGUAAAUAGCUUCACCAGUAUGGCGUAAUGUUAACAGGAACCCUAAGAAAGGCAAAAGUACUAGCCGGUCUAAUAUAAUCUCAAUGAUGAUGAUGAUGGAAUGGACGGAGCAGGUGCAACUAGUACAAUUAUUCCUCCACCGUGACACCUGGGGAAAAAUUCAACAUUACGAGUACUAUGAUUCAACUCCUAAAUCUGAAGGGGUGUUUGGUGGCCUUUAUAGGGAUGACCCGAACUUACAUCUGGUGAAUUUUGUCACCAUUUGCAAAUCUUUUGAUAACCUAGGAGUGAGCCACAAUGCUAUCCGUUUGAGAUUGUUUUCAUUGUCUCUGUCUGGGGAGGCAACAUUAUGGUUAAAUGAGCUGACACCUAAUUCUAUAACUAACUGGAGGUAGUUGAAAGGAUCUUUCCUAGAAAGGUUCUUUCCGUCUUCCAAGAUGGUACAAUUGAGGACGAGAUCAGCAACUUUAGGCAGCUCCCGACUGAAGCCUUGCAUAAAGCCUGGGAAAGAUUCAAGAAGAAGCUGACACAGUGUACGAACCACAACAUGACGGACAUACAUUUGAUGGAGACUUUGUACAGGGCUCUUAACUUCAUUGCAAAGCAAUUGUAGAAAAUGUUGCUGGUGGUUCAUUUGUUGAUUUUACAUUCCCAGAGGCUACAAACAUGCUAGAUAGAAUGACCAAAUAGAGUCGGGUAUGGCAUACCAGAGACUCUGUGGUGGCCAGCCCCACUGCAUCAGUAGGUAUUACUGUGAAACAAUGCAAAAGAGAAGAGGAGCAUGACCAAGACAUGGCUCACCUUAAAGCAUAGAUGGACUUCCUAACCAAGCACUUGCUAUCAGGAAAGAUUGAAAAUAUGAAAGUUAUGGGAUCUGAGGAUAGAAGUGAGGCUGAUGUAGAUGAAUAGGCUAACUAUGCUAAUAAUCAGGGGGUUUUUGAGGCAAUAGACAAGGGAAUCAGAGUCGGACUUAUUAUGAUAAGCCUGGUUAUAAAGAUAGGGAGCAAGGAAAUUAGAGGAAUAAUAAUGACAGAAGCUGGCUAUAUAUUCCUCUUAGAAAUCAUGAGGCUAUUUCAAUAAGUUCUAAAAAGAUGUCCAUAGAGGACAUGAUGGCUAAGUUGUUGAAGAGAGUGAAGGCUACCAACUUUGGUAUGACCACCAUGAAGACCGAUCUGACAUCCAUUAGUUAGUUGGUGCACUCACACUCCGCCGUAAUCAAACAGUUAGAGCAGCAGAUGAGCUAACUCUCUGCAACAUUCAACCAGAAGAAAAAUGGAAUAUUACCAAGUGAUACGGUCCAAAAUCCACGGAAUUAUGGCUCAUGCAUAGCUAUUACCACUAAAAGUGGUAAGAUAUUACAUGGUCCUUCUGUGGGCAAACCUGUAGUUGAUAAGGUAGUUGAUAUUAAACCAGAAUAAAGUGGUCCAGUGGAGUCUAAGAAGCUGGAUAAUUUUGAUGAUACUCCGAAUAAAGACAAAGAGAUGGAGAAGGAGGUAGUGCUGAAAAUUAUCCCAAGACAACCACCUCCAUUUCCUUAGUGGUUGAAGAAAAAGGUUGAUAAUGCAAAAUUCAGCAAAUUCAUGGCAAUGCUCAAGCAAUUAACAAUAAAUGUGCCUUUGGUUGAGGCACUUGAGCAAAUGUCAGGAUACACGAAGUUCAUGAAAGACCUUGUGACUAAGAAAUGAAAGGUUAGCCAUGAGCUGGAGGGCAAUCUCUUUCAUUAUGUCGCUGUCUCUACAAGGUCUUUAGUACAGAAAAAGGUAGAUUCAGGAGCUUUUACCAUCCCGUGUACUAUUAGGUCCCUGAAUUUCACAAAAGCACUGUGCGAUUUGGGAGCCAGUAUAAACCUAAUGCCACUCGCUGUGUACAAGAAACUGGGUUUGGGGGAUCCUACCCCGACGAACAUGCGAUUGGUAAUGGAAGAUAGGUUUGUAAAGUGUCCAGUAGGUAUAUUAUAUGAUGUAUUGGUAAAGGUGGACGACUUCAUUCUGCCUGCUGAUUUUGUAGUCCUAGACUGUGAGGUAGACUUUGAAGUUCCCAUCAUUUUAGGUAGACCAUUCCUUGUAACUGGGAGAGUGAUAGUAGAUAUGGAACUGAAUGAGCUGAAGUUCAGGUUAAAUGACAAGGAAGCAAGAUUCAAAAUACACUCAUCCAUGACACCAGCAAAGGAGAUGAGUGUUUUCUCAUUCGUGGACGUAUUCUAUGAAGAUGGUAAAGGGGUAUCAAUAGGUUAUCUUGGCGAAGUCUGAGUAGUCAAGAUAACCAAGUCGUGCCGUGACAGUAAAUUAGGUGCUAUUGGGAGGCAACCCAAAAUUUUUAUAUUUCAGCAAAUUGAUUAUUUUUGUAGUUAGGUUCUAGUUCAAAGAAGGUGGAAUCGAUAUAUCCCGCUAAGUAAUCCUGACGACAUUUUUUGACGAGCUGUCAUAAUUGUGAUUAGCCGUCAGCUCUGUCGUCAGAAACAACAGCUCUGAGGCAAUUUCUGUUAAGGCCAACGACAUUUGUGAUAAGGUAUUAAAAUUGUGAUGGAUUAUCAGAAAUAUCAUCACAAAAAUCCCAACAUUAGCUAAAACUAUGGGCCAAAUUAAAAAGACCUAACCCAGGCUACAACUUGGCCUUUCCACCUUCCCGCUUAGUUUUUAUUUCCUUUAAGUUAUUCUCUUUCCAUAUUUGGUUUAGUGUCUUACCUUUUCAAAGUCUCUCCAACUAAAACAAAAGAAAGUUUCCUUGUAUGUGUGGGUUUGCAAUCAAAAUCAAGAACCUCUCUUUAUUUUCUCUUGCUCGUGUACCCACAUUGAAGGCUCCCAUCAGGUAUACUCAAAACCUAGCCUUUCUUUUCAAGUGGUAAGUGAUAAAUUGAUGAAAACCCAGGUUCCUAAGAAUCUUGAACCAAAUUCUGCUUGAAAAAUGGCUAAAAAUUGGAACUAGGGUUUGCUGUGCAAGCUUAUGAUUUAAAAGUUCAACUUAAAAAUAAAAAUCGAGUGGAUGUUAAGAAAAAAAUGGGACCAAAAAUUGAGUUAAAAUCAAGUUGGUAUUCUUUUUAUAGCUGACGACAUUCGUGAUAAGCUAUCACAACUGUGAUGGCAUAUUAGAAAUGUCGUCAGAAGUCGAUAAGAAUUUUGUGGGUUCUAUUUAGGGCUGACGACAUUCAUGAUAUACUAUAACAACUGUGAUGGCUUAUUAGAAAUAUCGUCACACCUAGGACCUAAAGUAUUACUAAACCCUUUCGAGGGGUGUGGAAUUUUAAUGAUCAAUGUGUUUGUGUUUAUACUCUUGAGGGUCUACGAAUGGUUUUUCUCUUGCUAUAGGUCUUGAAAUUGCACCCAAGUGAAAGAACUCAAAAUCUACAAAGGAAGUGACCAAGGGAAGUGUAUCUCGGAGACUCUUCAACGAAGAGUCUGAUUAUAAAAAGGAAGAGCCUCUGCUCAAGAUGCAAAAGAAAAAGCAAAGCACUAAAAAGACUCCACUACCCUCACCAAUUAAGGUGGAGGAGAGUGAAAAAAGUGAAACUGAGCCAACAAUAUCUGAGCAUACAACUUUUGAGCAGACGAUCUCUGAGCAACAAGAGUCUGAACAUGCUAAAUUUAAAGAGCAUAAUUCAGAUCAUCCUGAUUCUGAGGGGAAUGAGUCUGGGGGACCAUCAAAUGAGUCCCCUUCUACUGAGCCACAAGAUGAUGAAGACUCUCCAAUUAGGGGAACUAUGAUCAAAUGUAAGAAUCAUGAAGUUCGAGAUGGCACUAGAUAGAAGAUUCCCAAAGUUCAAAAAAUCUUUUUUGAUGGGCUUCACAGAACGAACAUAAGAGGUAUCAAGAGGCCAAUCUUUGAGGAGAAGAGAAUCAUCACUAAGGGAUUGAGCAGGUACUCAGAGGUGGAGAAGAAAUUUCAUGGCUAUGAUUUGGGAUGGACUACACGAGGAGGAUAUUCAUUUUGCCCUACACUAGUUAUGGAGUUCUAUGCAAACUACCAAGCUCGCUUGGAAAACAUGUGUAGAGAAGGAGAGAAAGCAGCUGACCAACCUUUGUUGGAUAAAGUUCCGGUACGGGGCGUAAUAAUAGAUGUUUCUAAAGCAACAAUCAACAAGUUCCUUCAUGACCUGAACUUCACUCCCUAGGCUACUUCACCUACUUUCUAUGCCCGGUUGAAGCAUUAAAAAAAUCAGCGGAAUUGGUUAGCCACACUCAUAGCCAAUGGAGAACUAGAUGGCUAACAAAUUCGAGUGAAAGAAUCUUCAAGGCCUCCCUGACUUAAGAGAAAAGAUUUUGGUGGGGUAUUGUACGUACGUGGUUGAUGCCCAUAGAUGGUGAUAAUAUCCUCGGGGAUGACAGAGUAAUAUUAGUCACAAGUUUUGUGGCUAACCUUAAAUUAAAUUUUGGAGAGAUUAUCACUAAAGAGAUAAAAAUUUGAGUCUUGAGGACUAAUACAACAUAUCCCUUCCCUUGUUUAAUUACAAGGUUAUAUAGGGAAGAAAAUGUGCCAAAGAUUGUAGGGUUAGAAGAAGAACUCUUUGCCAGGAAGACCUACAAUCCGAUCUGAAAUGAGGAAAAUCAGCCAAGGCUAAUGCUUGACAGGGGUACAGAGAUUCCAACAGAUCUACCGAUUACAGGUACUAUUUCAACACCUAAUACAGAGGUGCCUGAUUUUGAAGCUGUACCUCCAACAUCUGCAAAAAUGGUAAAAUCAUCAGUGCCCAGAACUGAGACAAUUCCUCCAGCUACAGUGCCUACAAUUGAAUUUACCUUCAACUCUAUGAAUUUUAGGAGAGUAGUAAAGCAGUCCAAUUGGUGCGAGGCUCAGCGUAAACUCUUUGCCAAGUAAUUCACAGCUGCAGUUGACAAAAGAGUUAAGGCUGCACUUGAUCCUUACAAGGCUCUACCAGGCCGGAUUGAUGAAUUGGAGAACCACUUCAAUGCGCAGUUGAGAGAAAGGUUAGCUCCAAAGAUAUCAUUAUUCAAAUCAGACCUAGACAAAGUAAAGGCGAAGGUUGAAAAUCUAUAGCAACACCACUUUAUGGUGUUAGUAGAUCCAGUAGCUGAGGAGUCUGAGGGAGAAAUCCCAAUGCUUAAUCUCACAGAAGAGCUAAUGAAGAAAAAGAAGAAGAAAGGAGAGAAGAAAGGGAAAAAAAGAGAGAGGCUAAAAAAUGAUAAAGAAAGAAAAGCAAAAAACAAGGAAAGAAAGAAGUCUGAAAAGAAGAAGAUGAAAAAGGUGAGACUUGAGUCCUUAGUGGACAAUAAGAGAUGGGAGGCAGCCAUCUGACCGAGAUCCGCAUGUGCCUCUACUAGUAGGCCUUCAAAGACUGAUAGACCAGCUGCACCAGAACAGAGAGAGGCCCCUGAUGGAGAUACAACAAUAGGGUCAGGAACCCAAGACCCUCGGGAUUGAUCUAUUCCAAGUAUACUCUAACCCUUAGUUUAGAUUUUCUUUGAUUUUAAGUUGAGGGUGUAGGGUAAAAUUUGUUAUUGUAAAAUUUUGUAGUCAACUAGGAGAAAUACUUGUAAUUGAGGUAGUUGAAUUGUUUUUUUGUGAUUUUUGUACACCUCUUCAAGUAGUCUACUACUUUAAACUGAGUGAUUUGCAUUUAAGUGUGACCACCAUGCAUCUUUGUAUGGAAUUAGUUCUAGUAACAUAAUAAUCAUUGCUAAAUAGUUGCACAAACUGAAUGAGUAGUCGAGUGCGAUAUACCUGUGAGCCAAGUAUGUGUGUGAGAUGUUACUCAGUUCCCUUUGUAUGCUGAAGCCAGAACUUGCCCAGUUAGUCUUACCUAGGUUGAAGGAUAGGAGUUAGGAAAGGAUCAUAGCCCGUUUUAAUAUUAGCUCACUUUAGCCUAAAUGACCUUCCCUAUGUGUAUCAUAUCCCUUGAUCCCUGUUUUGAGCCUAAUUAGCCUAUUUGUUUGUAUGACACUUUUUCCUUCUCAUUUAGAUCAUAAUGAACCUGUUUUAGCCCUGGUAUGCUUUGACACUGUGCACCUUGACUUAGGAAAAUGACCUAAGUUGAGGGUGACUAUCAUAGGGGUGCAUGAUAUAGAAUGAGUAUGAAGAAAACUAGAAUAAAAGAAAAGAAUAAAAAGCCAGGUGCAGAAGAAAAGAGAAAGAAAAAGAAAAAUUAUGAAAAAAAUGAUUGUAGAAAAGACCGUACCCAUCCUGAAUAAGUGUGAUCAAGAAAAGAGAAGAAUAGAAAAAGGCUAAUGAGUGAAACCCUAAAAAACUAGUGUAGUGUCAAGGAGGUUUAGUCACUUUUAAUAUCACCGAGUAUCAUACCAGCCCCCAGCCUACAUUACAAGCCUAAGAGAAGUCCUAUAGUGAUCCUAGCUGACCUAUCUGAAGAUUUGGAUAAUGAAAAUAAGGGCAAGCCUAUGGUACUUGGCAUACACUGAUUGGAACUUCGUUUUAAGAGUGGGUGUUUUGACUGUCCCCAUGGUCACAUAUAUAAUUCCUGAUAUGAGAUGAAGGGGAUUUCAUUACUGUGAGGGUACACUGGUUACAUUGCUAGUUACUCACUUGUUUGGGUAGUGUAAUACUAGUCUAUGCAUGGUUGUUAUAGCUGAAUUGAUGCCAUAUCUUGAUUCCUGCGUGUUGAAUUGGUGUUCUUCAUUGUACUUGAAUUGACUGACUUUGUAGAUGGUGAAAGUGUUUUGAGAUGAUAUGGAUGAUUGACUGCCAAAUGUGCUUUGUAUUCUCUUUGUUGUGCUGAGUUACUUGAGGACAAGCAAUUAUUUUAAGUUGAGGGUAUUGAUAUGUGAGAUAAUGCUAACACAUUUGAGGCUUUUAACUAAGAAUAAUUGUGAAGUCUUAAGAAAAUUUUGUCAUUUUUGAUUGCUUUAUGUUUGAUUUUGCAGUGGAAGCUAAGAUGCUAGAGAACCAACAAGAAUGGAAGCAAAUAAGCUGAAAUCUGAAGUAAAUAAAGGCAAAGUGUGGAUGACUACAUUUUUGAUAAGUCGUCAGCCUUGUGAUAAGCUAUCAACUUCAUCAUUAGCAGUAGACAGAGAAUUGGCCUAAGUUGAAAGCUGUGACGACAUUUUGUAAUAGGACGUCAAGGAGCUGAUAAGUCGUCAAGAUUGCCGUCAGUCUAAGGCAGAACAUGAGAGCUGAGGAAAAGACUUGACAAAAUUUGUAAUAGGUCAUCAAGGAGCUGAUAGGUCAUCACCAUUUAUCAUCAGAAUUAGGCAGCGAGUACCAAAAGCAUUAAGAAAGCUGACGACAUUUGUGAUAAGUCGUCAGCCUCCUGAUAGGCUAUCACAAAUGGCGUCACCUAAUCCAAGGAAUUUCUGAAUUGUAUUAUUUUGUUUCCAUAAUUAGGGUGAAAUAUUUAAAGCCUUGUUUAGGGUUUUCUUAAAAGUUCCAAACCUUGAGUUCUGAGACACGAUACUUUGAUAUUUUUCUCCCUUUUCUUUUGGCUUGAGAAAACAAUUAAUUUAAAGAGACUAUCAUCACUAUUUUGGGAUUUUAUUUGGUGAUUUAAUCAGAGAAUCUCUAGUUUCUAUUCAUCUUUUGGUAAGUUCAUCUUUCAAAGCAUGAAUUAAUCUAGUUGCUUCGAUUAUUAUGUCAUAAGCAGAUAAAUUCCUUUAACCUAAAUUAUGGGACCUAGGGGUAGGUCUUGAUAAGGUGUUUAGUGUUCAAGAUUCGAAUAAUGGUAGGACUCCUUGAUAAUUUUGAUGUUUUAAUUAUUGUCUGUUAGUUGAAAAUGCUAGAUAACACCUUCUUUGAUUUGAUUGACAAGGAAAUAAAAUAUAGUGGGAAGUGAAUUAUCAACAGGGACUUGGAAACACUAAACUUUCGUUUAAUAAUCAGCGAUGUAACAAGGUUGGUUAAGCUGAGGUAAAAUUUGGGCAGUGAAUAUAAAUUCCCUAAGUCUGAGAGGAUUAGGUAAUUAAAUGAUUAAGUAGGUUAAGAGACAUUUAAGCGUAACUUCGCUAAAGAUAACUUUUUUUCCUACCUACCGUGAGAAUCUUGAACCACUAGUAGCAUUUGUCUAGUACCAAAACCCCUAGUGAACAUAAUUUUGGUUUUUCAUAAACUCUUGAUUACAAAUAUUUAAACUAAAGUGAGAUUCCUUUGGACUUUUUGAAAUCUCAGAUUACCUUGAGGGUUUUUUGAGAUAUCUUAGAUUCCUUUUUGAAGCCUUUAGAUGAGAUUUCUUCGGACUUGCUUGAAAUCUAGCACACAUCCUAGCGGUGCACACAAUGUCAGGUCUUUUAGCUUUUAUAUGGAGCAAUGAACCAAUGAUUCCUUUGUACAUAGUUUCAUUAACAAAGGGACCAGGUUUAUCUAAGUACAGUUUGGAGGAAGUUCCAAUAGGGGUAUUAAUAGGCUUUGGAUCCUCCAUAUGGAACCUCUUAAAUAGCUCAUGCAUAUAUUUCUAUUGACAUACAGUUGUCCCAGUUGCACCUUGCUUAAUUUGAAGCCUAAGAAAGAAAUUGAGUUGUCCUAUCAUACUCAUCUCAAACUCACUGCUCAUUAGCCUGUCAAACUCAUUACACAGGGAACUAGUUGUAGCUCCAAAUAUGAUGUCAUCUACAUAGACUUGAACUGUGAGCAAGUUUCUUCCUCCGGUCUUUAAGAAUAAGAUGUUACCAGUCUUUCCACUUUUGAGCCUAUCCUUCUGCAAGAACUUGGAAAGCCUCUCAUACCAACUCCAGAAGCUUGCUUCAAUCCAUAUAAAGCUUUCUCUAAUUUGAACACAUGAUUGGGAAAAUCAACAUUUUCAAAGCCUGAAGGCUACUUCACAUACACCUCUUCCUUGAGGAGACCAUUUAAAGAGUCACUCUUUACAUCUAUCUAAAAUAGUUUGAACUCCAUAUAUGAGGAAAAUACAAUGAAGAUUUUGAUUGCCUCCAUUCUAGCUACUGUAACAAAUGUUUCUUCAUAAUCUAUCCCUUUUUCCUGGUUAUAGCCUUGCACCACAAGACUAGAUUUGCUCCUGAUAGUAUUGUUAUACUCAUUAGCCUUGUUUUUGUACACCCACCUGGCCCCUAUAAUAAUUCUGUCUGAGGAUCGAGGGACCAGGUGCCACACUUUGCUUUUUUUCAAAUUGGUGAAGCUCUUCUUGCAUUGCAUUGAUCCAAGAUGCAUCUUUCAAUGCUUUCUUAACAUUCUUGGGCUUAAUUUAAGACAAGAAUGCAGAUAAAGCACAAAGAUUCUUUGCUCUAUUUCUAGUUUUCAUACAUGAGACCAGAGGAGACAAUAGAUUGUAAAGAGGAUGUGAGGACUGAUGCUUCCAACUAGAUCUGUGGGAAGUGGUAUGACUCUCACCGGGAAUAGUUCCUAUGAGAUGUUACUCUUAGGAAACUGAUCAUUUUCUUUGCUGAAUUGGGGAUCAUGUUUUACAGGGGAAGCUUGAGGGAGCAGUAUUUUGAUGACUUAUUAAAUUUUCAUCUUUAGGUCGUGAACCUAGUCCUUUGAGUUAGCAUCAUUAUCACUUUUAUUUUUCUCUUCAGGAACCUUUAUUGGGUUCCUUGAAUUAUUAUCAGGGGUGUUGCCUUUAGUGAUAUUACUAGCUUCAUCAAAUACAAUAUGAACACUUUCUUCCACACUUUGUGUUCUCUUGUUGUAGAUCCUGUAAGAUUUGCUGAUGGAGGACUAUCCAACAAACACUCCUUUAUCACUCUUUGGAUCAAACAUCCCAAGAUCAUCCUUUCCAUUAUUAAGCACAACGCACUUGUAACCAAAAGGCUUGAAGUAACUCAUCUUGGGUUUUCUUUUGGCCAUAAGCUCAUAAAGAGUCUUGUUCAGAGUAGGCUGGACGAUACCUAUUGAUCACAUGACAUGCAUUGUUAAUAGCUUCAACCCAAAAGUUGUGAGCAAUCCCUCCAUCUAUCGGCAUGGUCCUUCAAAUAUCCACUAGUAUCUUAUUUUUUCUUUCCAUAAUACCAUUUUACUAGAGUGUAUUAGGUGCUGAAAAAUUGUGAAUUAUACCCAGCUCAUUGCAAAAUUGGGUGAACUUGGCAUUUUCAAAGUCUGAUCCAUGAUCUAAUAUGAUUCCAACUAUCUUCUCAUCAUACAUCACUUACACUUGUCUAGCAAAAAACUCAAACAUAAGAAAUAUUUCUUCCUUGGAUCUUAAAAAGAAGGUCCAGGUGAAUCUAGAAUAGUCAUCAAUAAUAACAAAGAUAUACUUCUUUUCUCCCCUGCUAGAAAUCUUUGCAGGUCCACAUAUUCCCAUAUAAAGGAGUUGCAGAGGCCUGGAUGUGCUUACUUUUUUCUUUGGCUUAAAAGAGAAUUUGAUUUGCUUUUCUUUCACACAAGCAUUACACACCUUAGAGCUGGCAAACUUCACUUUUGGAAAACCUCAAACCAGGUCCCUUUUCACUAAUUUGUACAGAAUUGAGCAACUAACAUGACCCAACCUUCUAUGCCAUAGUUUAGCAGCAUCUUCUUGCACACUUAGGCAUAUUAUGUUCUUUGACUUGCAGGACCCCAGAUUAGCAAUAUACAUAUUCAUAUUCCUCCAGGCAGUCAACACUGCUUUUCCAUCUUUAAGACAAGUAACAGUACACUUAUUCGACAUGAACCUAAUUUUAUUUCCUUUAUCACUGAUUUGAGCCAUAGCCAGCAAACUAAACUUGAGACCAUCCAUAAAAUAAAGAUCAUCAAUUGCAUGGCUUAAACUAUUCCCAAUCUUUCCAAACCCAAUAAUGUACCCUUUGUUACCAUCAAUAAAGGAGACACUGCCUCCUUUAUGGGUCUUAAGAGAGAGAAAUUUUUUAAUUCUUCCAGUCAUGUGCUUCAAGUAGUCACUAUCCAUGAUCCAGUAGUGACUAUUUCCUUUAGAUUUUCCCAACAAAGAAAUUAGUGAUUAGUUUUGGAAAUCCAUUUUAGCUUGAGCUGCUAGAAUGGUAACAGAAGAAAGAUCAGAUUUUUCUUUGUCCAGCUAGGUAAAUUUCCUCUUUUUCCUUUUGUGGAAGAGAGUUAUUUUACUUUCCUUAUGAUAAAAAUUCUAGAAGGGCAUAAAUCCCUUAUAUGCCUAUUUUUUCCAUAAUGAAUACAUCAUAGAUUAUCCUUAACUGAGACAUAUUUGGUAAAACGAUUGUAAGCAGGAUAAACACUGUGAAAACCUAUCCCUGUUCUACUGCUUGAUCCUUGACUGUAAGGGUUGUCAAUACUUGAGAGGAGGUGGUCCAUUUUAGAGAAUUCUCAAGAUCGUCCUUGACCCAAACCAGUUCCCUCUCAAGUUUAACACUCCUCUCAAUUGAGGCAGUCAGAUCUACAUUAGCCUUACUCAAUUUCUCUUCUAGCUCAAGUUGAAUUUGACUUUUUUUACUUUUACCUUUUGAAUUAACCUUAUACACUUCACUAAAAUUUCCAUUUAAGGAAUCAUUUUCAAGGGAUAGUGACUUGCUAGUUGCCUGGAGUUCAACUACUUGCUCACUUAAUUCAACCACAUCUUCUCUACAUUUAUCAAAGUCUUUCUUCAGACAUUCCCUAUCUUUAGUAAUAUUAUUUACAGUAUAUAUGAGUACUGUAGAAAGAGACUUUAACUCUUUAAGAGAAUAAUUUUUGAGGUUUUCUUUGAUAUCCAAGAGGGUUACCUUGUCAUCUUCAUCAUCAUCUGAGUUUGUCAUCAAGGCAAAGAGAGAGUCAUAGACUUGGACAUCAUUCUCUACCACCAUUAUAGAGACAUCUUAUUGCUACUCUAAUUUAUUAAAAUCAUUGGAGAAAUCACCCAGAGUAGCUAUGACUUGCAUUGCAACCCUAUUAGCUUCAUCUUUUCAUCUAUACUUUGCCAAGGACCCCGUUGUGCCUCUUUAUUUUUCAUCACCUUACUUAACAUACUCAUUAUAUUCUAACUUAUACAGAGGGUAGUCUUUGAUGUAAUGACCAAGUUUUCCAUAUUUAUGAUAAUUAUAAUUUGCCCUACCUUUUUUUAUGUGUCUGUUGGAUUCUUUUUUUCUAGGUAGAUAGUGACGUCUAAGCUACACCUCUUCUUAGAAGGUGAUACAGUUGCUGCCAAAUGUAGUAACCCAACAAAGGUUGGGGUCUAAUCCCAUGGGAACAUGUGGAAUCAUGGCUCUCAGCUAUUGUAAUCAUCGGGCAUAAUUAGAAAAGUAAAUGGGGGGUUUUGAGUAUCAAUAUCGAACAGGUGACACGUAUCAACUUUGGUUGUAAUCAGUCGUAGGUGAACACUAGGAUUGUGUUCCCUUUGUCUUCUCAACUCCAUAGGAUUUUUGUUCUUUGUUGAACCAAUGCAAUACCUUGCAUGCAGAAUCUAUAAGUUAUGUACCAUCUAUAGUUUUUUGGACAAGCAGGCAGAUUUCACCCUUUACCUUUCGAGUCUUGGGAUGUCGCUUUACUAACCUUAUCUUGAUCCCAGUUAACUAUUACUUUUUGAGUCUCUAGCUAUUAUAUGAAAUCUAACCAUCUUACUUAGAUAACACCUAGUAGCAUGGAUCGAUAGUUAAAUUCCAAAUUACUAUUGUCAUUAUCUUUUCCUAGUCACUACUUCUCUUUCAGAGUAAGUAGCAAUAAUCUAGGUAGGAUCCUAACUUUUGAAACCACUAGAAUAACUAUUAAAGUGAAGAUAAUACGAUGCAUGCAUAUGUAUCAGUUUAGAAAAACAAUAGCACUUCCCUUACUUUGUCAAUCCGCUAGGGUUUCUACAACCCUAGCAAUAGGUUUUUAGUCGUUCAUGCUUGUGAAGUAAUCAACAACAUUCAUGAUCGAAAGCAUAGAUGAAAUCUCAAUAAUAAGAAUUAAAAAACCCAUAAUUGUAACAGAAUUAAUCAACUGAAGUUAAUACAAGAAAAUUCCAAGAUCAAAAUCAAAUCUUUGAAUCAAAAUAAAUUUGAGAGUAUAAAAAAUGUAUAACUUCCACUAAAAACACAUAAAGGAUAUUUAUAGUACGUGAGAAAACCCUAAAAUCAAAGACCAAAUGAAAUAGGAUAAAAAAGAGUUGGUGGCCACUUAUGGUCCCUACUUACGCCCUGUCCUUGGGCUCAGGUAGUACUUACGACCAGCAGAGAGGGCACUAGUGGCUACCGCAAGUGCCAGACCAAAAUUUUCUGCAAGUUAGCUCUCGGGUUUUUGGACUUAUGGCACUUGCGUUGCCCACAUGCGUUCCACAUGUACCACUUACAGUUUGCAUGUUAGCUUAGCAAGUGUCGGGAGUCAUCUUUUUAGCUUUUCUUCAAUUACCGCACAUGUUUUGAUCACGAACAAUCCAAAAAGUACCCCGAACAUCCAUAAUUGCUCCAAUAACUAGCCAAAAACACCUUUUUCAUCUUUUUCAUGAACUUAGCCUCCAAAACAUGGUUUACUGUAAAUCAUACCUAACACGCAUCAUAUCUAACAAAAAACCUCAGAAACUUACAUAUUUUCGUAGUUUUAAGCAUGAAAGUGCUAUAUUUCUAUAGUACAUCAACACCCUCAACUUAGAAUAUUUUCAUGUCCUCAAGCAAAAAAAUAUAACAAAAUAAAAACAACCCUUAACUAGGAGAAUCUAAGCUAUUCAAGGCAGUCAAUCAACAUUUUAAGCUCAAAACACAACACCUACUCCAAUCUUACUUUUCAAAACCAACUAUGGAUGAUCAUGAAGCACAACCAUAUGACAUAAUGGAAUCAAGGUAUAACAUUACAUUUACAAUAGACAACCAUGCAUAUGUACAAGUUACACUAUCCAAAACAAUCAAAUAACUAGUAAUAUGACUCAUGUGCCCUCACAACAAAGAAGUCCCAUCUCACUCAUAUGAAAUAAUGCAUGUUAAUGUAGGGACAGUCAAGAUACACUUGCACUCAGAAGAGAAGUUUCAAUCAAUAUGCAUCAACUACCAUAGGCUUGCCCUUAUUUUCUUUACCUUAUGUAAUGCCCCAUAAAAAUUUCCUCGCUUAAAUUCAUCCUUAGAGUGUUAAGGGAUAGCUUCCAAAAUAAAUACUAUUUAUUUGGUGUGGAAUUCCUUAGAUUUGGACUUUCCAUUAUGUAGGAAAUUGAAUUAGCUUUCCAGUGAUAUAAGAUUUGCCUAAAUCCGAGAACUGAGUAAGAAGUUAUGACUAUUUUAAGUUCUAAUCGUAAAACACCAUGAUUUGGGACCUUAGCGCGUCGCAGAGAAGCAUAAAAUUACAAUUGUCAAUUUCCAGUGAGACUCUGUAAUUUUAGGGUAUCGUGAAGAGGCUCAAUUUCCCAUUUGGCAAUAUUCAGUGAGACCUCGCGAUACCGGCGCGUCACAUUUGUGGUCAAAAUGAUAAACUAAAGGUCUCCGCAAUUGUAGUCGGCUCUACUCCAACUAGUAGUAUUUAAGUCGGAAAUUGCUUUCACAUCUAAUAUGACAUCUGUACCAACAUACAUCUUCGGACACCAUAAGGUAAGUAGCUACUCCAGUCGAUCUAACUCUAGAGGAUCCGGUAAAAUAGCAGUAGCCACAGACACCAUUCUCAAUCAACAAGGUCAAACUGGUUUAUGUAUUUAUGUAGCUAGGGCAAAAGCGUCUUCUGUGGCCUAGGUAGUAACGACUUUACAGGAAAGGGGAGCGAUGGAAUACAUUACUGUGGUAGCCGAAACGAUGGAUUCCCCUGCUAGCGCAUCGCGGUUGAAUCCCAGUACCUGCUCGUCCAUUUUCAAUGAGCCACCACGAUAGUGGCGCAUCACGAUGGCCACCCAAAUUGGGAAAAUGUACAUUUUCCGGUUUCGUAUAAACGUUGAAAGGGGAUAUUUUGGUAAAUAUCCAACCCCCAAUCCGUCCAAAAAUAAAAGAUUAAUCAUAUUUCAAGAACUUUAUGCUCUUUAUUCACCAUUCUUUUCAAAAAUAUAACCUUAGAAAUCCAAAGCUCCUUUUCCAAGAAACCCAAAUUCCUCCAUUAAUUUUCCAAGAAAAUUCAAGACUAAGGAUUCCCAAUAUAUGAACUCUAAGAAUUCAUCUCUAAAGCAUCAAUAGGAAUCCAAGAUUUGAGUUUCUCAUCAAAUAUCAUCAAUUUAAGGUAUGUGGGGUUUGAACUAGGAUAAUUCCUUCAUCCUUGUGCCCAAAACUUUACUUUAAUUACAAAUUUACUACAAUUUAUGAGAUUUCCCAUGAAAUUUAAGUUAGGAUUUAUACCCAUUAUCAUUAUUUGCAAGAUUAUGAAAUUUUCCAUGAUUUAGAAGUUGAAUUACAUGAUUAUAUUUAUAUUUCUAUGCAUUGUCAGAAAUUUUUCAGAUUUUAUGGUGAAUUAUAAGUGUUUACAUUAUAAAGCAUGAAUUUUUAGAUGUUUUAAUGUGAGAUUAAUGCAUAGGUCAUUAAGCCCCAAUUUAAGAUUAUUAUUUCAAGAUUAUUUGUGCUAUGAGCACUCUCAGAUAAGAUUACUCACAGAUUUUGACAAGGAUUUGACCUUAUGGUCCUAAGAUAAGAUAAGAAUCCACAUUGUUCAGAUAACUUGAGAUUUAAAGAAAGGAAAGCAUAAUUGGGUUUCUUGUAAACUUUUGUGCUAUUUUUGAAGUGAAUUUCUUAAGAUUUUGAGCAUAAGAAUGGGAGUAGUAUUUAGCACUGAGAUGGGUAGGUUACUAAGGUUUCAGACCCCAUAACUACGUGCCAACGUAGGAUUCAGAUUUAUUCCCACUUCUACGUGGAUUACUCAGAUUGUGAUCACUAAGAUAGAAGUUCAAUUUUGAUGGAAAAGGUAGAACAACCCUACUUAAUCGGGGCCAAAUGUGGGACUCCAUGGAUGCUCACAUGGUGUAUGUCGGUUAGAAGAACCUCCAAAAAGAUGUCCCCUACUCUUCAGUAGUUUAUUGAUUUAAAUCUUUAAGAGAAAACAUAUGUUUUAAAGUUAUGGUUUUAAGAUUCUUAAGCUUUAAGAUAAGUAUUUUACAGAUUUCAGAACUAAGUGUAAUGGCUCACUAGAUUUACGUUGUAUGUUUUAUCACUUAUAAUUUAUGAUCUUCAGAUUUCAGAUUUCUCAAGCCUGUGUGAGUCAUUUACAUUUAGCAUGCAUGAUUUUAUAAACUGUAAUGAUAUUGUUUACUUAUUGCAUGCACCUCCAUAUAUUCAGUACAUCCUCCAAGUAGUGAUCCACAUAUAUAUCUAUGUGCUACAUUAUCUCAUAAUAUAGGUUUAGGUGCUCAGUCUCAGUAGUGUAAGUGUUUUCCGAGCAUCUUAUUUACAUCCCUACAGUUGGUGAGUCCUCAUAGUUUAGGGACUUAGUUAUUCAUACUCUUAGUUUAUUGGUAGAUGUUCCUUUAUUCAUUUCAGACAGUUUGAGUCAGCUGGGGGCCUGUCCCAGUGACUCUCUAUAUUUAGAUAGUAGAGGCUUGUCGGAUUACUAGAUUCAGUUUUAGACAUUUGUUUCAAAAUUCAGAUUUUUAGUAUUGUUUUACCAAGACUUCUAGCAUGUUUCAGAUAAGAUUUUUCGCAUUAUUAUGAUUUCAUUUUCAUAUUUCUCAUAUGUUGAGAUCCAGACUUAGUAUAAAGCAGCCAAGGUUAGCUCAGUACUACUUGUAGUUCAGAGCACCGUGUGGCAUCCUAUAAAUAAGAUUUUGGGGUGUUACAAACUUAGUAUCAGAGCCUAAGACUUAGGAUGUCCUAGGGAGUCAGACAAGCUGCGUUACAUAGAGUCUUGAUCAUCAGUGUAAAGCAUGCCGCAUCUAUGGUCAAGAGGCUAUGGAGCAUUUUAGGAAAUUAUCUUUUCUUUCAUGAUCUAUCGUGCAUUUAGUGUCUCUAUUUUCUUCUAACUCAUGCUUUCAUAUGAUAGAAAUGCCUCCUUAUUGAGCUAACGCUCGCAGAAAUAAUAAUCAUCCACCUCAACCUACAGAUGAUAAUCAGCCACCUCAGCCUGUAGACCCUUUGAAUGAGAAUGUGUUACAUGCAGAGUUUUAGGCUGCCUUUCAGGUACUAGCCCAAGCUGUGAUAGAUAAUGUUCAAGGCAACCGUCAGGACACACUCUCACCUCAGUAAUAUAUGGACUUAUCCACGACCAGGAUAUGACAUUUUAUGAGAAUGAACAUGUUAGAAUUCUUUGGGUCGAAAGCAGAUGAGGACCCACAACUUUAUCUAGAUGAGGUAAAGAAGAUCACCCAAAUUAUGCAUAUUUCUUAAGAGGAGAGUGUAGAAUUGGCAUCCUAUAGGCUAAAGGAUAUUGUAUAUGAUUGGGUGAUGAUGUGGAAGAAAUGUAGAGGAGAGAAUGCAACUCCCAUGACUUGGAAGAUAUUUCAGAAUGUGUUCUUAGACAAAUUCUUUCCACCUGAGAUGAGGAAGCUAAAAUAGAAGAGUUCAUGAACCUAAAGAAAAAUGAUAGUGAAGGAGUUUUUCCUCAAGUUUAACCAGUUGUCUAAGUAUACCCCUGAACAGAUGGCUGAGCUUAGGUCAAGCAUGAGUAAGUUUGUGACCAGUGUGUCUGGGUUAGUAGUUAAGGAGUGUAGGACUGCUAUGCUUAUUGGAGAUAUAGAUCUUCCUAUAUUGAUGAUGCACACUCCGCUGAUUGAGGUAGAAAAGAAGAAGGAAAGAGAGAGAGCAAAUUAGAGGGCUAGAAUAGGGCAAUUUGAUUAUGGUCAUAAUAGGUUUGGAGGAGAAAAUCAUUUGCAGUUUUAGAAUCAUUCAUCUAUGCCUACACCUUCUUUAGCCAGUGCUUCUGCACCCAGAAAUAGGUAAAAAUAGUAGGGUAAGUCUUCUAUGUCCAGAUCUUUGAAUAGUGUGAGUAGGAAGCCUAAUCAUCCCUUAUGUGCUAAGUGUGGUAAGAAUCAUAGAGGUGAAUGUAUAUGGGGCCAGAAGGGUUGUUAUGGUUAUGGCCAGUAGGGUCACAAAAUCAAAGAGUGUCCAUAUGCUAGACGAGGUAAUAUAGAUGUUCGUCGUCAGACUCAGGCUAAUAGUGCACCAGCUCCUCUAGGUCGCCCAGCUUCUCCUCAAGGUGCAUCAUCUAGUACCGGUGGCGUUCAGCACCAGAAUCAGUUUUAUGCCUUACCAUCCUAUCAAGAGCAGAAGGAUUUACCCGAUGUUGUGACUGGUAUGCUUCGUGUCUUUCAUUUUGAUGUUUAUAUGUUCUUAGACCCUGGGUCGAGUUUCUUUUAUGUGACCCCAUUAGUUUCUGUGAAUUUUAAGAUAAAUUCUGAAAAGAUCCCCGAUUCUUUCUUGGUUUCUAUGCCAGUAGGAGAGUCAAUUUUUGCUAAGCAAAUUUAUAAAAAGUGUCCUCUCACUAUUCUUCAUAAGUUCAUGUUAGCAGACCUGAUAGAGUUAGACAUGAUUGAUUUUUUCCUUGGUAUGGAUUGGCUCCAUUCUUGUUAAGCUUCUAUAGACUGUCGCACCCGUGUGGUGAAGUUUUAGUUUCCAGAUGAGCCAGACUUUGAGUGGUCAAGUAAUUCAGUUUCUCCCAAGAGUCAUUUCAUAUCUUACCUUAAAGACAGAAGUUUGAUAUCCAAAGGUUGUAUUUAACACCUAGUUCAAGUUAAGGACACUAAGUCUGAGACUCCAACAAUAUAGUCCGUUCGAGUGGUCAAUGGGUUUCCUGAUGUUUUUCUAGAAGAUCUCCCAAGGGUACCUCCAGAUAGAGAGAUAGAAUUCGGUAUUGACCUUCUCCCAAAUACUCAGCCUAUUUCUAUACCUCCUUAUCGUAUGGCUCCCACAGAGCUUAAGGAGUUGAAGGAGAAACUCAAAGAUCUUCUAGAUAAAGGUUUCAUAAGUCCUAGUGUUUCUCCAUGGGGCGCUCCCAUCCUAUUCGUGCAAAAGAAAGAUGGUUCUUUGGUUAUAUACAUCGACUAUCAUCAGAUAAAUAAAGUUCAAUCUAGAACAAGUAUCCUCUUCCUAGAAUUGAUGACUUAUUUGGUCAAAUCCAAGGUGCAAAUUGUUUCUCAAAGAUAUACCUUAGAUCUGGCUAUCAUCAGCUUAAGAUAAGGGAAUGUGAUAUUCCAAAGACAACCUUUAGAACCCGUUAUGGUCAUUUUGAGUUUCUAGUUAUGUCUUCUGGGCUAACCAAUGCCCCAGCAGCUUUCAUGGACCUCAUAAAUCGAGUGUUCAAAUCGUAUCUAGACAUGUUUGUCAUAGUAUUCAUAGAUGACAUCCUUGUGUACUCCCAUAGUGAGGAUGAACAUAUAGAUCAUCUCAAAGUUGUCUUGCAAACUCUUAGAGACCAUCAAUUGUUUGCCAAAUUCAGCAAGUGUGAAUUUUGGUUAAGAUCAGUAACCUUUCUUGGUUAUAUUAUCUUCGCUGAUGGCAUUAGAGUCGAUCCCCAAAAGAUAGAUGCUGCAAGGAAUUGGCCUAGACCUAUCUCUCUGUCAAACAUUAGGAGUUUCUUGGGUCUAGCUGGUUAUUACCGCUACUUCGUUGAAGGUUUCUUUUGUAUUGCAUCUUCUAUGUAUAGAUUGACCAAAAAUAAAGUUAAGUUCCUGUGGUCAGAUUCCUGUGAGAAGAGUUUUCAGGAGUUGAAGACUUGACUCAUUUCAGCCCCAGUUCUAGCAUUACCUGAUGGUACAAAUGACUUUGUUGAUUAUUAUGAUGCCUGUAGAGUUGGUUUGGGUUAUGUGUUGAUGUAGAGUGGUAAGUUCAUAUCCUAUGCCUCUAGACAGUUGAAGCCUCGUGAAAAGAAUUACCCAAUUCAUGAUCUUGAAUUAGCUGUUGUGGUGUUUGCUUUGAAAAUUUGGAGGCAUUAUCCGUAUGGUGUGCAUGUUGAUGUGUUCAUAGAUCACAAAAUCUUGCAAUAUGUGUUUGAUCAGAGGGAGUUGAAUCUCUAUCAGAGAAGGUGGUAGGAGUUGUUGAAGGAUUAUGACAUGAGUGUGUUGUAUUAUUCGGGAAAGGCCAAUAUAGUAGAAGAUACUCUUAGUAGGUUGUCUAUGGGCAGUGUUACUCAUGUGGAGAAUGAUAAGAAAGAGUUAGCUCAAGAAGUUCAUCAUUUGGCUAGAUUGGGUGUUAGGUUUGUUGAUUUAGCUGAAGGGAAUGUUUGGGUUCAGAGUAGUUUUGAAUCUUCUCUAGUUUCGGAAGUGAAGGAGAAGUAAGAUAAGGAUAUCAACACAAACUCUAACUUCCUCCAAAUUUCCCAUGUAGUGCUUCACUCGCUUCCCAUUUACCUUUAAUGGGAUAUCACCAUCACACUUUAUUUCUGUAGCACCAUGUGGGAAUACCUUAACCACAAUGAAUGGUUCAGUCCACCUAGAUUUUAGCUUGCCAGGAAACAAGUAGAGUCUUGAAUUGUACAACAAGACUAAAUCACCAGGUACAAAUACUUUUUUCUUGAUCUUCCUAUCAUGAUACAGUUUUAUUCUUUCUUUGUAUAUAGCGGAGCUCUCUAAGCACGGAGUUAGAAUUUAUCCAACUCAUUUACCUUGCUCAACCUCAAGUUUGCUGCAUCACGACACUCAAAAUUUAGCCUUCUUAACACCCAUAGUGCCAUAAGCUCAAGCUCAACUUGUAAAUGGUAUGCUUUGGCAUAUACAAGCUGAUAUACAGAGGAACCUAUAGGGAUCUUAUAGGUUGUUCGAUAAGCCCACAAUGCAUUCAGUCCUGUUGGUAUUCACAGUGUUCGCCAAUAUCGACUUUAUCUCUCUAUUGGAGACUUCCACUAAUCGAAUAGUCUGAGGAUGUUAAUGUGUCAUCACCUUAUGCCUUAUACCAUAUCUAUCAAGCAAAACUUUGAACAAGAGGUUGCAGAAGUGAGACCCACCAUCGCUAAUAAUUACACGUGGAGUGCCAAAUUGAGAGAGGAUAUUUUUCUUCAAAAAGGCAGUGACCCUUCUACCUUUAUUAUCUGGAAGCGCAACUACCUCCACCCAUUUCGACAUAUAGUCAACCGCUACUAGAAUCUAUCUCAUAGAAGCUCAUAAAUGGGCCUAUGAAAUCGAUCCCCACACAUUAAAUAACUCCAACUCUAGAACAGGUGUCAUGGGGAGUUCAUGAAGCUGUGAAAUAUUGUCUUGACGCUGACAUUGGUCAUAGGCUUUCGCAAAAUCAUGAGAGUCCUUAUAAAUUGAAGGCUUGUAAAACCCACACUACAAAGUUUUAUGGGCGGUGCGUGUGCCACUAUGAUAACCCCCAACUGGUGAUGAAUGAUAGGCUUCCAGAGUGCUCAUCAUCUCCACCUCUAGAAUAUAACUUUGAAUCACACCAUCAGCAUAAAUCCUAAACAAAUACUACUCAUCCCAAAAGAACUUCCUUACCUCAUGCAUAAAUCUCCUUCGUUGCUGGAAGAAAAGAUCUUCUGGGACCACAUCACUUGCCAAAAAGUUAGGAAAAUUAACAAAAUAGGGUAUUAGGUCUACAUAUGCUGCUAAAACCUGCUCAUACGGGAAUGUAUCAUCUAUCUCAAUAUUAUCCCCUAGUCUCUGCAUUACCUUAUCCGCAAGCCUGAAUAAGUGAUCUACAACCUAAUUUUCUGUCCUCUUUCGAUCUUUUACUUUAAAAUCAAACUCCUACAAUAAGAGAACCUAAUAAAUCAAUCUUGGUUUGGCAUCUUUUUGCCAUCAGGUAUCUCAAGGUUGCAUGGUCAGUGUGAACUAUGACCUUGUUCCAAUCAAAUAAGACCAAAAUUUCUUAAAAACAAAUACAACCGCAAGGAGCUCCUAUUCUGUAACUGUAUAAUUUUUUUGUGCUUUGCUAUCAUAGUAGAUGGGAUGCAGUAUCUUUUCUCUUCUUUGACCUAGAACAACUUUCGAGGCCACUCCACUCGCAUAACACAUUACCUCAAAAGGUGUAGACUAGUCGAGUGACAUAAUGAUGGGUGAUAAUUCUCAACCUGCUUCUAUGUUUAAGGGGUAAGGCGGUCAUUGUCAUUAUUCCAACUCGUAUUAGGGUCGAAUUCACAGGGAGUGAAAUAUAAAUUUCAAGUCUUAUGUGUGCUCUAAUUACUAAAAAGAUACCCGAAAUGCAAGGAAAUAUAACAUAUAAUAAAAGUGAGGGGAUUUAGUUUGUAUUAAUUCUUGAGUUAUAACAAGCUACAAUGAUAGUUUCGGUUUUAAAAUCAAGUUUGGGGAGAAUCUUGAGAUUAUGUCUUCCCAAAGGUAUUAAGUGUGUAGGUUAGAGAUGGUUCAUCGUGAUAUCUAGUUGUUGAGUGAAAGAUAGGCUAGUUAGAAAGUCUUUGCAGCUAGUUUUUCAACUAAACAUGAAAGAUUUCACCUAUUGGCUCUUUCGAGCACCUAACAAGUGUGCCAUUCAUAGUCACCCAAUACCCCAAUUGGGCAUUCCUAUUUCUAGAAAGAUACCCAUGACAUGACUUACACUCCAUUUACACUUAUUUCUAAGAUUGCAAAAGGUAGUAAACCACAUACUUAAUUGUCCACCAUUGCCUUGUCCCACUAUAGCCCUUUUUCAAGGAUGCUAUGGGUUUCCAUGGGUUCACCUUCAUCCGUCUUUCAAGGAUGAUGUAGGUUUUCUAGAUCUUGGGGUUUUAACCCAUCAAACCCAUUUGGAUAUAUGGGAUUUUUACCCAUAAAAUUCCAAUUAUUAAACUCAAGCAAUGGUGAAAUCCAUACUCAACAACUAGAAAUCAUAUGAACACAUCAACAACCACGCACAAAUACACUUUAGUUCAACAUAAUCCUAAGACUAAAAUACUUAGCUACCCAUGAAGAAAGUAGAGAAAGAUAUACCAUAAGGAUUAUCAAAGCAUCUAUUCUUUAAGAAACACUAAGAAUUCAAGUCUCCAAAAUUAGUUACUAUCUUUCCCAAUUAGGGUUCUUGUUUCAAAUUCAAAAAUAUUUAUGAGGUAAGAAAUACCCAAAGAAGAAAAGGUUUUUUCCUAUAUAAGGUUUAGGAUUCGGCCAAGUGAAAUUAUCAAACUACCCUGGGCAACAUUCUUGCUUAGCCGCAAUGGCAUGACGUUGUCCGCGACUGCGGCCAAUGCGACCGCGGUAUGGUUUCAUGAUCUCAUUCUAUUGACCAUCUUGACUGACUGUGACCAUAGCCUUUGGCUCGUGAUCGUGGUAACUGGGGUUGAUGACUACUCCACGUCUUCAACUGCACUUCUUUACUUCACUUGAUCUCUUUUAGCUUCAAUCCACAUCUUUUCAUCUCACCAACUCUAUGCCUGUAAAAUAUGGAUAUUAGUGCAUUAAAUUACAAUUAUGUCUCAUUUAUUUAUACAAAAUUUGGUAGUAUGCAUGAAAUUUGAGUCCAAAUGAGUGGUAAAAUCACUACUCAUCAACACCCCCAACUUAAAACCUUGUUUGUCCUCAAGUAGCACCACCCCUUAUCAUGAUACAAUUUCACAUGUAUGCCCACAUUCUAUUACCCAAUGAUCAUGAUGACUUUAACUUGAUUAUUACCACAAAAAUUUCUUCACACAUGAGCAAAAUGAUUUUGACUACACCCUUCAACAUAAAAUGGAAUAUUGAAGGACGCAAUAGACUUUAAGGAGAAACCAUGUAACAACUACUAAUACUCUAGAAAUGACUCACUUCUUGACCUCAACCACAUUAUACUUCCUUUUGUCUCAUUGUUCUAAGGGUGACAAAUUCACCCACCUCAACUUGAUCACAUACCUCCUCACAAGAAAGAAGAUUUUACACACCUAGCUAUCAAUCAUGAAACAAGGAAUUUAAGUGCAUGCACUCGCUCUCUCAAGAACUCUCAAUGCUAAUAAGUACCAUUCCAUAGGCUUGCCCCUAUUUUCAAUCGCCACUACAAUGAUCACAUUUGGUUGGGAAUCACGAAGGACUUUUUGAGCUUGUAAUGUAGGGUUAGGGUAGGGUAGGAUAUUAAUUUCAAAAAACAAGGUUAAAACCCUCCUUGAACUUAUAAAACACAAUCUUUUCAAUUUUGAUAUUGGGCCACUUCUUUUCUUUCACUAUUGUGCCUACAUUGCCUUUCUUGGUUUUCCAACUUUCUUUCCACUUCUUUUUUUUUGUUGUUGUGCAUAAUUCAUGCAUUUCCUUCCUUUGUUGGAUCUUUUCUUUCUUCUCAUCAUUUUGCUUUACAUGAUUAAGGAUGUCAGCAUUUUCUUAUAACUUUGUGGCCCAACGAUACCUCUUUAAACUUUCACCACCUAUAACUUAGGAUUUCAAAUUUCAUUCUUAAUUUUAAGGAGGAUAGGAUCAAGAGAGGGACAAUAGAAGGGUCAUGACUUGCAAUGUGUUUCCCAAAGAAAAGUCCAAAGGCUCAAAGUGGAUGACUAAGGAUUAUAUCUAUGUAUUGGUAGGAUUUUUAGGCUAUAGUGGGCUUCCAAUGUCAUAAGAAUGGCCUAGGAUCAUUUUACCAACCAAAUACAAUCAAAAUCUAACCUUGGAAGACUAAUGGGGAAAGUUCUAAAUGGUACAAGUUCACAUGAGAUAUAGACAAAUAAGCUCCUACACAUGAGAUGUAAUUCUUGUCGAGGGGGUUCAAUUAUUCCUCCCGCUUGAGACAAAUAAUUUUCCAAAGUCAAUUUUUGGAGUCAUAAAAAGAGAAAAAGUUUUUUUACAAAGUUUCUCAGAUCCACGCCCUUGAAUUUUGCAAAAAUAUUGGAUGGGGUGGGGGGUGGGGUAUUUGUUUUGUAUUCUCACCAUGCAUAAUUUAUUAAUCAUGGCAACAACCUAAGCUCUUGUCUUACAUUAAGGCUUUCAUACGGGCUACCCACCCAUAUGGCUACUUAGAAUUCGUGAAUGGGUAUGAAUGCGAUCCCAAAUCAACAAUGCUACAGGUACUCAGACUUCUCUCGUACUUGUGACCUUGAUGCCACGGGUACUCGGACUUCCCCUACAUCUUUGACUAAAACCCAAUCAUGAUACUUUCCCCUUAAGAAUAUCAUCACUCAGUCUAUUAUAGGGAAAAACUCAUCAAGUGACCAAAAUUAAAUAAAAAAACAAUCUAGGAACAAAGUAACUAAUCCAUCCAAAUGUAGGCACCAUCCGAGUGCCUGAAUAUUACAACCCAAAUAAAAAUAAGGAUCAUCUAAAAGAUAAGAAAAAUAUGUAGAAAUAUCAAUAAUAUAGGUCCAAAUCAAAUGAAUACGGCGACAGGCAACCCCAACUUAAAAGGUAGUAGUGUCCCCACUACAUAAAUAAUCAAGGAUAAAAGAGAUAAGAGUGCUCCCUGAAACUGCAUCAAGGGCUGCUUUUACUCUCAUAUUUUGCAUCAUCAUCAUUAUCCUCAAGAUCAGACCAAUCGAUCGAGGCAUCAUAAUCACUCUCCACCCAGGAAGAAUGAAAUUCAAUUUUGGGGUUUUAGGAUCUUCCAUAGGCCCUUCAUCCCCUUUCACAUCUUGUUAAAGAACUCAUCCCUCUUUUUUUCCCUUAUAAACAUAUUUUCAUGUGCAAUUCAGAGAUAUUGAUGUGAUUUUACCAAAAAUGAGUAGGCUUUCUCAAGCCUAGUAAUGGUAGCUUCCUGUUUUCUUUAGUCCUCUCUGUACUUCUCAUAAUCGGACUAUGAUACAUAUGAAUGACGAGUAGUAGAGGGCUCUCCCGAUCCCUAGGAAAACCAGACACAAGCUCCUGACGGCAAUAAUAUAAACUCAAAUAUCCUCAAGAGGACUGGUGGUGAAUGGCCUAUGAAACACAGGCUCAAUACAUGUCGACUUCCCCAAGUCGAUCGUUUUCUUCUUGCCUUUGCUAGGUGCACCCUCCCUUUGAAUCCUCAAGGGGUAGAUGGGGGUAUAGGGCACACCCAAGUAUCUCCAACAUACUUCUCAACCCCUGCCCUUUUACAAAGAUUAGUAAUCAAUGAGGCAAAUAAGAGAUGUGUACCACCUUGGUCCUUAAAGUGGUCCAUUUCAUUAACCAUGAGCUCACUAACAUCCAAAGGAAUUUUAUCUAAAAUGCAAAGAACCAUUCGAGCACGUGGAUCUAGGACUGCUGUCAUGUAGGUGCAAGGGGAGACUCGAAUAUAUAUAAUGUGCAACCAAAUUUGAGCCUCAAAAGUAAAGUCAUUCAUGGAGAUGUUGCUUUUUGUUUUCAUCCACGAGACUUUCUUUCUGGAAUGCAAUCUUUCCACCAACCAACUUCCCAGCUUACACCCUUUUGCUUUGAAUUCCCCCAUGACUGCAUGUGAGAGCCUAUAAACAUCAUUGAUUUGCGUCUCCCUAAAAUACACCCUUUUCCCCUGGAUUUAAUAGUCAUGUUGGAUGGAUCUAAGAAAGAAACUUUGAUAAUGUUGGCAUAGAAUUUACGCACCCAUUGCUCAUUUGCAUUGGAUGGAGCCGGAGCAAAACACCGCCACUUUGUAGCCUCAAUCUUGUCAUGAAAUGCUGGAAUUUUUUUCUGCACAUUGUCCAAGCAAAUUCUACUCUCUGGGAGAAGCUUUGUCCUUGAAAUAUCACCAUAAUAGCGAGUGUGGCACUCGGGUGCCAUGAAUCGGAUACGAUCAUAUUUGUCCAUGAGAUAGUCCUAAAAGUACUAGGAACACAUGGCAUUAAUCAAUGACAAUUUUACACACAAAAUAUGCCAUACUGUUCACCAAAGCUCAUUGGAUGGGCAUUUGGUGGUGUUUGGAUAAAAACUGGAAGUGCAGGAUUUUUGGUAUGGCAGAAAACUAGCCUCGGUUACUACGAUCGCGAGCCAUAACUGUAUUCACAUUACUGCAAUUGCGGUCCACUGAUCGCGACUACGAUAACUAAGGUUGAUUUCAUACCAGAUUUUCAUGUUCAAAAUAUCCCAAAUUUUUAGACCACUAGCAGGUUCUACAAUAUGGAUUCACAUUAAGACAAAUGAACAAGGCUACUAGGUGCUCAAUUAUACCCUUCGAAUACAAAGAACGUUAUUGAUAACAUCAUUCAGGCAAUAUAUCGGUCACUUGAUGUGUACACUCCAUUUUCUCCAUUUUAUACAUAUUUGUGGGUACUCAUGAUUUCCCCACUCAUGUGAACACCAUAUUCUAGUAGCAAAACAUCACAUAAGUACCAAGUAUGAAAACAUGGAAACAUGACCUAGGCCCUUUUAAAAAUUAUGGAAACAUCAUGCAUUCUUUUGCCUAUUUUCAAAAAUCAAAGCAUGAAUUUAAGGCACCUACUGGAUUUGUGAUGCAAGAGAGAUACAAGGGUGCUGUUGGAGAGCUCAUAAACUUGGCCAAAAUUUGGUCCAAUUAGAGAGUAAGGUUUAAAAAGGGAGUGUGAGGGAAAUAGGGGAUGCAACUAGUCACAUAGCGGAAGCAACCAUAAGGUUUAAAAAGGGAGUGUGAGGGAAAUAGGGGAUGCAACUAGUCACAUAGCGGAAGCAACCAUGAUUGCAGUUAAGUGCCCAUGAUCGCAAGCAUAUGGGUGGCCGCAAUUGUGACCAAGGGCCUACGAUCGUGGUAACUGAGAGCAUUUUUGCUCCCCGUUUUUCCCUAUUCAACUCAAUUCACAAUUCGAUAGCUUUUCCCCUAUUCAGUUUUUAAUACAAAAAUUUUAGACUUUCCCCUUUUUAAGCUAAUCCAAUGCACUCUAUAGUUCCACAAAUGCAUGAUUUAUUGAAAUGCCAAAACCAAAAUCUAAGCUACGACAUCAUAAAGAAAGGAUACGAGCCAUUCUCGUGGAAUUUGUGGGUUGCCUCCCACACAACGCAUUAGUUAAUCUCAUGGCAUGACGUCCUCUCUUUUUAUUCUCAAGGAAGGUCCUCAAGCCACCCUUCUUUCACCUCCUCAAUCUCGAUAUCCACCACAGACACAACUUGAAGCUCUACGGAUUGCUUCUUCAUCUUACAAAACCUUGAAAGUGACUUCAUCCUCUUACACCCUAUACUUUAUAUCCCCCAUUUCCAAGUCAACAAUGGCCUAUUCGAUGGCUAAAAAUGGAUGACCAAAGAGAUGGGUACCUCGUGGUCCAUUUCACAAUCCAACACCAUAAUAUCCACUGGGAGUAUAAACUUGUCCUCUUUGACUAGGACACCAAUAAAAUCACCAGCGGCCUUUUGAUAGACCGGUCCACCAUUAAGAGUCACAUGGAUGUUGGGGUAGGAGCAUUCAAACCAAGCUUCUUGUAGAUGACAAAGGGCAUGAGGUUGAUACUUGCACCAAGGUUAUAUAGAGCUUUUGUAAACACAUUGUUCUAGUGGUACAAGGAAUUUUAAAAGAUCUGGGAUUAUCUUUCUUUUUUGUAAUCAUACUAUCCAUGAUAGCACUACCACUAUGGCUGACUUUAAUGGUGUCACACUCUAUAAGGUUUUUUUUCGACAUCAAUUUCUUUAUUAGUUUAGCAUAUCCUGGGAUCUCUUGGAUUGACUUAAGCAAUGGGAUGUUUAUCGAUAGAUUGGUAAGCUUGGCCAUGAAUUUUUUUAUCUUUUCACCCUCCUCAUUUCUUUACAAUCAUUGAGGGAAUGGGGGAGGAACUUGGAUUGUAGGUCUUGUUUCACUUUGUGGCUUUUCAAACCCAACCACUUCUUCAUCAUCUUUCUCAUCAUCUUCUUCUUGAUUUUGAGGUAACACCUCCUUUGGCUUAGCCUUAGGCAUCUUCCCACUCAAGUCUCCUUUCAAGUGCUCAUCAAGUGUCUUCCUAUUUCUAGUGACAAUUGCUAAGACUUAAGCGUUAUUCUUUUGAUUAACAAUUGUCUCACUGGGGAGUCUACCUCUAGGCCUAGCAUUUAAUUGCGUGGAGAUUUUCCCAAUUUGCGUCUCCAAUUACUUGAUGGAGGUGGAGUGGGCCACCACGGUUUGACAGAGUUGAGAGAAGUCACCUUUCAAUUCACGAACCAUCUUGUCCGUACCUUCCACUCUAUUCAAAAUUUGGGCCAAAACAACCUCGGUCUUGAACUUUUUGGGGUCAAUGGAGCUUAACUCUUUGUUCUUACCUCAAUCAUGGGGAGGCAUAUAGCGGUCAUAAUCACUCACUCUAUCCCUGUAAACCACUAAGCCAUUAAUACCUUCGGGCAGGGUCAAAACCAAAGCAGAAGUCAAUUUAUCCUUCACCUUCUCAAAACUCCCCCCAUAAGCAUCAGACCACAAAACCUCACCUUAUUCUGAGUCAUCUUAGUCAAAGUGAGGCAAUUAAUAAGAAGCUCUCCACUAACCUCCUAUAAUAACAGACUAAACCUAAAAAUCUUUGACUAUCGAUUGGAAUCAUGGGUAUAGGCCACUUUUUAACCACCAAAACCUUUGUGGAUCUACCAUGAUCCGUUCACUAAAAGCAAUAUGACUUAGAAAAAUAACAGCGUUCAACCAAAAUUCACACUUUGAAAACUUAGCAUACAAAUGUUGUUCCUUAAGGGUCUGCAACAAAAUACAGAGGUGAUCAACAUAAUCCAUCUCACUUUUUGAAUAUACCAGAAUAUUAUCUAUAAACAUAAUGAUGAAAAAAAUCCAAAAAACUGAUGAAAUACUCGAUUCAUCAAGUCCAUAAAUGCCCCUGGGCAUUGGUCAACCCAAACGACAUGACCAUGAACUCAAAUGACCAUAUCGAGUAUGGAAGGCAGUCUUAGGGAUAUCCUCCUCCCUAAUCUUCAACUAAUGAUAGCCUGAACGGAGACCAAUCCUAGAGAAAUACUUAGCACCCUGAAGUUGGUCAAAAAGGUCAUCAAUCCUAGGAAGAGGGUACUUAUUCUUCAAUGUUGCCUUAUUUAACUGACGGUAAUCUAUACAUAUUCGAAGAGAACCAUCCUUCUUACAGAUGAAAAGAAUGAGAGCAACUCAAGGAGAGAUACUUGGGCAGAUAAAACCUUUCUUAAAAAGAUUUUUCAACUGCUCUUUAAGCUCUUUCAACUCAGCUGAAGCCAUUUUAUAAGGAGAGAUAGAGAUAGGAUGAGUGUUCGGGAGAAGAUUAACCAUAAAAUCAAUUUCCCUAUCGAUAGGAACACUAGGAAGAUCAUCAGGGAAGAAUUCAGGAAAUUUAUUAACCAUAGGAACGGUUAUAAAGAAGGACUCUCUGAGUUACAGUCGUUAACCUAGACUAAAUGAUAGAGACAACUCUUGGAAAUCAAUUUUUGGUCUCUAAGAUAUGAUAUAAACCUCCACUUAGUCAUUAGGGAACUCCUUUCCCGCUCUAUAAUCGAUUUCUUAGGAAAAUUAAAAAUGACCUUAUGGGUCCGACAAUCUAAAAAGGCAUAGCAUGAAUGCAAAGAAUCCAUCCCCAAGAUAAUAUCAAAAUCAACCAUGUCUAAUUCAAUCAAAUACACCAAAGUUUCCCUACCACCAACAAAUACCUCACAACUCCUAUGGACUCUUCUAGAAACCAUAGAGUCACCCACUGGGUUGGAAAUAGAAAAGAAGUCAAAAAUACACGCAGGACUAAAACCAAAAUACACAGCCAUAAAUGAAGUCACAUAAGAAUGGGUAAACCCCAAAUCAUGUAAAUAGUACAAAUCAUAAGAGAAGAGUUUUAACAUACUAAUGACGACAUCAGGAGAUGCCUUAGACUCCUGAUGAGUAGAAAGAGCAUACAAAUUAUUUCGGCCAGUGUCAGUACUAGAAGUGGCACCCUUUAGUGCAGGAGCCAAUGACAUGGCAACCAGAACAUUACUUGCCCACAAAGCAACCUUACCCACAGGAAAAUCCCUCCGCAUUUGUCUUGGCUGGCCACAAUUGAAACACUGGUCCCUUUCCUCAUCAUAGAAACCACGAUGCAAUCCACCACAAAGUCUGUAAGAAGGAUGUGAUAGAGCUGACUAGGAAAAACUGGCCUACUAUUGGGAAUCUUGUGCCUCUGAACCAUCAUCUCCAUAAAAUCAACGAUCUCUGGGUGGCUUUGGAUAUGGUGCAAUAGCCGUUAAAUAAGAACUAGAGUUGCCCCACCUCUUCUUAGACCAUUUUCUACCACCUUUGCCACUUUACUACUGACAUCUACCCUGAUCCAAAUACUGAAACAUCUUACUCUGCCUCUCCCCCAUCUCUCCUUGCUUCUUAUUUUCUUCUUCCAAUUGUGGUAUAUAAUCAAUAAUUCUAGAGAUGUCUAUUUACUUAUUCAACAAGGUUGUCUUACUCUCCAAAAUUAACUUACAGGACAACCUAGAAGCAAAUUUCCUUAUUCUAGCCCUCAUGGUAGACACUAGCUCAGGUGCAUAUCAUGAUAAUUUGUUGAACUUUAAGGUAUAUUCUUUCAUCAUCAUCCUUUCUUGCUUUAAGUUCAUAAAAUCCUCAGCUUUUGCUUUCAUUAAAUCCUGAGGAAAAUCGAUCAAAAAAAGCACUAAAGAUGUCAUCCCAUAAAGCAGGCUCAAUAUCAUCACCCUUAAGCUACUCCCACUUUUCAUACCAUAGGUAUGCUAUAUCCUUCAAUUGAUAAGCAGCGAAUUCCAUACCCUCUAUAUUAGUAGCAUGAAUAACCUAUAAUAUCUUCUCUAUCUCAUCUAUAAAACCUUGAGGACCCUCCUUAACCUUAGUUCCAGUGAAAGUUGGAGGCUCAACCUCAUAAACUUUCCAACUCAAGUGGGCUCAGAUGAACUCCCAGUUUUACCAGGAAAACCUAUAUUAUAUGACUGAGACAUCACUAACUGGGUCAACAGAUGAAUGGAUUGGCAAAACUUAACAUUAUUAAUAUCUCCCUAAGAACUGAGUAUGAGUAUCACCAGUUAGAGAUAAAUCAGUGGAGAUAGAUGGAACUCCAUGGGGACAAUUAGAAGUAGUGACUUUGAUUGAGUUUGUACCCUAUACAAGGGACGAUAUCCGCCCACAUUAUCCCCAGGUGAGAUAGAUGAGUUUCCAUGAGCUUUAGAUCAUCUAGAAGGCAUAAUCUGAAAGGCAAAUAAAUAAAAGUUGGACGAAUAUAAGACCUUAGAUUCUAUAAACCAAAAAUAAGACAACAAGGAAAAGAAACAUUUCUAAAUGUCUUGUAGCCUCUGCUUUAUAAGUGUCGCACAUUGUUUACCCAUAAAAGAGACUCUACUUGACAUGGCUUUGUGGACACCCAAUUUACCCUGAACCUAGGUAUUGUUUUGCGAAAAUUUAACUUUAGAGUCUCCACUUAAUUUAUUUGAAAAAAAAUUAAGAAAACCUUUGAAAGUUACUUAAAUGAUCCAAAAUGAGAAAAAACCCAUUUAAGCUUGAAGAUUAUGAGUAAGCGGUUCCUAUUAAUGUUUUAGGAAGGUUUUAAGGCACCUAAAACGUUUGCUAACUUGCGGUUAUUUGGACUAUUUGAAAAUAUCUUUUGACUAACUUCAAAAACAUUUGAUUGUUGAAGAGUGAUUGAUUUUAGGAAAAACUUGGGUAAAAAUAAAUUUGGACGACUUAGUAGAGAUUUUAACUAAGUCUAAACAAACUAAUAUCAAAGCAUGUAAAAGGGUGAGGGGAGAUAAUAAAAGACUUAGGCCAUUUGGCCAAAAUCAAUAGCCGCUAACCUAAUAUAAUUGGGAUUUUGGCUCACUUACACCCAUCAUAAUCUAAAUGUCGGGCCUUGACCUAUAACUUGUCCUAAUUUUUUUUCAGGCUCGUUGACCCAAAAUCUGCUCCACCUGUAUUAAAUUUACAACUUUGGCUUCGAGGCCUAAAUAAAUAAAUAAAUAAUGAAAUAAAUGAAUAAAUAAAUAGAUAAAUAACAAAAGAUGACAAAAAGAGGUAAAUAAAAUAAAAAUGAGACUUUGAAGUCUCUUAACUGCUUCAAAGAUGGAUUUUAACCCAUUCUUCUCCUUUUGACUCUUUGUAUCCAUAUGCCAUACGCUCGACUUUGGACUUAGUUUUGAUGCAAACUUGAGGAGAUGGGCUUCAUUGGCCCCUAGAAUGCAAAGAAAGAGGAAAGUCCACUUGGACCUCGAACGGAUUUUUCAUGCCAAAUAAAUAGGAGGAUUAGAGUUUUAUUUGUAAUAAGAAUGAUUACUUUGAUAAAAUAAAUACGAAACACAAUUGAUUCAAACCAAAUAAAAUCUUGAACAAGUUCAUACUACACGUGGGAUUGCACUUCCGUACUUCAAGUAAUCACAAUUAGGUAUAAUUUUCUUACUAAUCCACAAUACUAACUCGAAGCAUUUCACGGUUUAAAAGUGCAUUCCGAAAGAAGAAAAAUAAAAUGAUAGAGGCAUAUAGGGAAGAAAAGAGAUAAAAUUGACAUGGAAGUUAGUAAAACAAUCACCAUUUAGACUAUCAAAAGCAAGACUUACAAAUCAAUUCAUUCUUCACAGGGAUAUCUUCAUACUUGCUCAAACUACAAUGUUGAGUACUAAAGAAAAAUAAUGAAAGCACCUCACAAGUUCAUUAAAACUUCAAAUCAGAAUAGUCCUCCUAGGAAAACUACGAAAAUGAAAAAGAAAAAAGAAAAAAGAAAUAACAGCAGCACCACACUUAAAUAAAUUGAUCAAAUUUCUACAGCAGCACCACCAUACUUAACAAAUUAAUCAAAUCACUACAGCAGCACCACACUUAACAUCAUAUACAAAAAUCAAAUCUCUACAGUAGCAGCACUACAUUUAAGGAAUUAAUCAAAUCUCUACAACAACAGUAUCACACUUAACAUCAUAAACAAAAAUCAAAUCUCUAUAGUAGCAGCACUACACUUAAUGAUUUAAUCAAAUCUCUACAGCAGUAACACCAUACUCAACAUCAUAAUCAAAUCUCUAUAGCAGCAGUACUAUACUUAACAUAAUAAACAAAAUUCAAAUCUCUACAACAUUAGCACAGAGAUGAAAAUAAAAUGACAAGGAGGGUGGGGCAUUCUAUUGCGCACAAAUCAAUAAUUAGAACUACUAUAUGCUCCUAUUAUCAUGAUGCUGACAACAAUAUCAUAAAUUAAUAAAAGGGAUCGAAGACUAACCCAAUGUUGGGUAGCAAAAUGGGCCCUUGAACUUCGUCUGAAUCCGCCACCACUGGAAGCGACCUUUAAACCCCGAUUAAAUGAAAAAUUGACUAUAAAAUUUCAACUUUUAUACUCAAAGUUAUAUUUUUUUACACCUUCAAGACUUGGUCCCUUUUGCUCUAUAAUGAACCAUAUAUAUAGAACGAGAUUGGGAAAAUUUUAUGCUAAUCUCGAUGUGGGAUAAGAGAAAUUUGGUGUAAUUUGCGAAAUUUUAAGGCAAAUAUUUUGAAACUUGAAAAAGGGAUAAUGGAAUAAGCUGAAAUCAUACCAAAAUAGUACAACAUUGAAAUAAAUUAUGUCGAGUUGUUAUUUACACGCAGAUUUGUUAAGAUUUGGGUCAAUUUUGGGUUAAAAUAGGACCUUGGUCGGUAUCGAAUUCCGCCACUGUCAGUGUUGGAACAGGUCACCGGGUUUGCUGACUGCUAUCAGUAUUUAAGGUUGUUAUUGGUUGCUAGUUCAUGGGUCGGGUUAUUGUUUCUGUCGUUUGAAAUUGUCACCGCAUUUGUUUGUUGUUCAUGGUGGAAAUAAGUGAGUGUUAUUGCGACUUUUCGUUAAAAGAAAAGGGGAUAGCAAAGGCGGGCGCCGGGGCAAAGGGAAUGUUAGGUUUAUUGAGAUGGCGAACUAGGCUGCUGAGUUGUUGGGUUAAUUGGUAAAACAAAAUGGCUAGGACGAUUUUGGGCUAAAAAUUGAGGUUAUUUUAAUAACGCCAAUUAUAUUUAAUUGGGAUUAAAAUAACCCCAAUUAGAUUUAAUUGGGUGAAAAUAAACUUAAUUAAAUUAGAAGCUUUAUAAUUUUUGGAAUUAUUUAGAAAAAAUAAUCUUAAUUCAAAUUUAGCCCAUUCUAUUUAAAUUUUAACCAAAUUGAAAGUUGAUUGGCCAAUUGCAUUGCAAUUAUAGCCAAUUUGAUUUCAGUUAUGGUCAAAUCUAAUAGAUUGGCUAAAUUAAAUUAAAAUUCAAUACAAAUUAAUAUUUCUUUUAAUCCUGAGCUUCUUGAUUUAGUAAAGUCAAACAAGUAUUUCUUCAAAUAAAUUAUUUGUAAGAUAAAUUAUAUUUAAAUCAAGAUUUUAAUUAUUGAAAUUUAUUUUCAAGAUAAUCCUUGAUUAAAAUCCGAUAUUCCAUAGAAUAAAUAUUUAAGUAAUCAAAUUAUAUAAUCUCGUAUAAUUGAACACGAUAAUAUGUUAUAGCUACUUAAAAUGAUAAAAUUGCGUACAAAAAAAUAUUUUGAAAAGUUUUUAUUCGGAUGAAAUAAAUAUUUUGAUUUUAUUAAAAACCAAAGAAACUUAGGAUUAAAUUUUGUCGUGAAGGGCAAAAAUUAGGUGUCAACAACUGCCUCCUCCCUUUAGGUAAGGUGGAUGGAAGUAACCCUGGCCAAAGGGAGGUUGAUAUUCCUAAUAUUUUGUCCGACCAAACAUUUGAAUUUGAAAGAGGUUGGUUUUCACAUGGGUUUCAUAGAUUUAUGGUCGGACCUUUAUCAGGUUUCCUACAUAUCUCAGGUUACAUGAGAAUUUAGGCCACUUGUAGUUCAAAAGCUUGAUUUAAUGUAUGAUUUUUGAAAAAUUCACUAGCUAUCUCAAUUUUUGGAGUUUUUGACAAAAUAGGAAAGAUAGAAAAUAAAGAGAUUUGUGGGGAGUUUGGAAUACAGUCGAGUUUUAAAAUAGAUCCCAACCUACAUAUCCCCGAGAAUAGAGAAAUUAGACUACUUGUAGUUCGACUCGAUCGGUAGAAAAUAGAUAGUUUGUUAUUUUAGAUGAUCUUUGGCUCAGGAUGAGUGAAAAGUUGAUCAAGUUGUGGAAAAAAGG